CUUCCAGCCGUGACGAGGCUUGACUGGUAGCUUAGGUGCCGAAGUGCCGCAUCCAAGGCAUGAGAUGAGAGAGUGGUGAAGAAAUUCAUUAUAAUUUGAAUUUGUAAAGUGGAAAACAAGCGUCUCAGAAUAAAUUUAAACAAAAAAGACAAAGUAAAAUGUGGAUAACAUUCGAAUUCAUUUGUCGCUGCCACGCGCAGAAUAAUGUUCACAUCAGAUAGUUCAAUUUCUAAGAACAUAAACCGAUGGAUACAUCUUACAUCAUGUGUGCAUGCUUGGCCAUAACGCUGCUCUUUCACUUGGAGUUACUAGUCUGGAAGAGGAAGGUGAUUUGAAGAUUCUAAUUGAUGCAAUUAACGGGACGUGUUCUAUUCCUUGGCAUCUCACUGCCUUGGUGUUCAAUAUUUAGAGGACCGCUUGUAACUUCCAGCUGAAUAUAUACUUUCGUCAUAUCUAUCUGGAAGCUAAUUCAUUUAGUUGUCGAUGUGUUAGCUAGAAUUGGGCAUCUAUCUCAUGAGUGUUAGUCUUGGACCUUGGUGGUACACUCUCCCGUGCUGCUUGGUUUUGGGACUUAUGUUGUAAUUCUUGCCCAAGGGGCUUCUCUUUGUAACUGUUCUUUCCUAUAUAUAUAAAAAAGCAUAUCUCCUUAGAUGUUUUCUUUUUCUGAAAAACAAUGUAAUGAUCAUGGGACAAAUAAACAGGACGAAACAAUUCCAAUAACAAACAUAGGAUCCUCCACCAUAAGACGACCAUGUUGAAUAUAAUCAUCAUAUAAAAUAUGGCAAGGACAAGGACAAGAACAAGGAGAAGGGCGGAUAUGAUCAUCCAAACAAUAUAGUAUGGAUGAAGCAGACUAACAAACAAGUAAGAACAACAAAAGGAGAGGAAGGGUACCUCUGUCUUUAACAAAGGGUUCAAGGAAAGGGAAACAAUUGAGACCCAACCAAUUCGUCAAGGUGAUAGGGCGACUUCAUAAAAAUUCAUAAUAACCAAGGUGACAAUGGUAUAAUUGGUAUAUGUGCAGCAUUCAGAUGGCCAUGGUCUCCCUACUGAUACGAUCCUCAUAACCCUGGCCAAAGAAAAUAAUUAGAAAACAUGACUCAGGAGAGAAAUAACAAGACCAUCACGAGUUAGGAAAUUCUCUUCUAAAACAGCUUCCACCAACGAAAAACGUUAUUGCAGAUGUUUAACUGAACAUAGCAAUGAAAAAAUAUCAUAGGUCAGAAGUUAAUAGUUUACACCCAUUUUUCAAACAUGGUGGUUGUUUGUUUUGAACCUACACUAGGUUCACCUUAUAUCAGCAGUUUUCCAGUCACACCAGCAAACAUUAGAUAUUUAUAGUUUACGCCCAUUUAUAAUAUGAUAGUUAAUUAGAGAAAUUGUAUAGUUGAAUAAAUGUGCGUAUGCAUGCAAUAUUCAGCGUUAACUUAACAACCACGUAUGCGAGCUUACGUAGUUAUCGUUACCUGCUCUUAUCUUGUAAUCAUGAUAUAACUAAUUAGUCACAUAGUGAGACUUCAAAUUAUAGCAACUCAAAAAACAAUUCAAAUCCAAAUCCUUCAAUCCCAAUAGAAGAAUAACAAGAGAGGAAUGGUACGUACGGUACUGUGCAUGGGUGAUUAAAUGUUAAGAUAAUUUGGAUUAAUUGUCACGGGUGGCAACCACGUGACUUUGCUACUCUUGAAAAGACUUUUUGGGUCUACUUUGCAAUGGGAAAAAGCACCCAACAACUAGAACUAAAACUAAUGGGCCGGUUUGAAAUGCUCCUUUACAAAACACUUCAACUUUAAAAAAAAAAAAAUUUGCUUAAUACUUAAAAGUGCUUUUAAUAUCCACUCAAUAUUACGGUGGUAUUCUUUUUCACUUAAAAGUGAUAGGUUUAAGUUCGAAUCCCGUGGAUGGCAAAUUCAAUAUCAAAUUAGGUUGCUCAUUAUGUAGAUUAACCGAACUCUCAUUUCCUUUAAUGUAAAAAUAUAUCGAUGUACUAAAAAAAAUGCUUUCAAUACAUAAAACCACAAAUGCUUCUUAAAAAUCCAUCUAAUGCUAUCUUUAGAAACUGCACAUUAGUUUUUUUUUUUUCAAAAAACACUUCAAAUGUAUUUUUCAACUAUAAACACUUUUAACAUUUUUCAAUCUGUAUUCGAAUCAUUGUAAUUCUAUUCAUUUACCACGAGUUCCACUUACAAAUCUGCUAUCCGAUAGUAGUUGAUCUCGUUCAUAUUCCUUACUUUCUUUUCCUAGUUCACGACUUUCUCUGUUCUAAAUAAGUAAACACAUUGAAACUGAAUACUUAAAAAAAAUAAAAAUAAAGACAUGUUGGUUUAUUUGAACUUGAAAUGGCCUAAACACCCAUACAUACCGAGCGUUGCAAAAUGACAAAACAACCCUUCGUUAAUGGUGGAGGGCCCACUCUUGUCCUUUGUAGGUAAAAGGCUAAAUUAUAAUUGUAACGCAAAACCGCAGCAGUGACGAACCGUUUCUCAAUUUCGUCGUUCUUCCGAGAAAUUUUUUGGUGUGACUGUCAUACGAAAUAAUACAUUACGUGUCCUUAUAUAAAUGAUGAAUUAUGUGUUUUAAAAGGUUAAUAACUUAAAAAUUAAAAUUUUUCAUCACUUACGUAAAAACACGUGAUAUACCAUCCGUGUUCAUGUUACAACUAAAAAUUUCUCCUCCUCCCCUCUCUCUCUUAAAUGGCUAUUCCCCCAAAUACCAUUUCAGUCCCUCCAAAAAAACAACCACAGGGUGGGGACUGAGGAGAGAGACCGGGUUUUUUCUUGUGUGUUCUUCUUCAGAGAAAACACCAAGAAAUCAGAAUCAUCACACCACCUUGAGUAAGAAUCAAGCUUUCGCAUUUCCCUGUUUGAUUCCAUCGAUUUUUUUUCUGAUUUUUCGUAGAAAAUCUUGAGGCUUUCUUUUUGGUAACGAAAAAAGUUUCUGAAUUUUCUCGGCCGCUGAUACCAAAUCCUCUGCUUGUUUUAUAUUCUGGGAUCUUUUUUUUGAUCUGGGUUUCGAUAUCUUGUGUUAUUUCUCCAGAUUCUCUCUUGUUCUAGCCCUCUCUGCUUGCAAGUUGCAAAAGAUAAGGUUUUUUUUUGGGAGAAAACAGAGGAGGUUGGCACAGAGGAUAUAUGUCUUCUAGAUUUUAUCUGUCGACUGGAGCUCCGAAGAAGCUCUGGAAAUCUUAUCAGCCUCUCUUUUGCAUGCACAAACAGAUUUCAUCUGUUUUUUCCAUGCCAUUAAAAUCACAAAGACAGAGGUAUGUGGGUUUAAUUUAUUACUCUCUUGCGUUUAAUAUUAUGUGUUUUCAGUUUUCAAUUUUUAUGAUAUUUAAUGUAUGUAUGAACAUCAAUAUUAGUGCUUUGUGGAAUUUUGUUUGAUGGGUUUUUUGUUUUAGGGGUUUUUGAUGGGUUUAAGGUCUUUGAUUUGUUGUAAUUUUUGUUUUCGUUGAUGCAAUUGGUGCAGGAGUUGUUCUGGAGUGAAGUGCUUUAAGGAUUGUUUCAGAAUACAAUUUUCGAUUUCGAUUUCUGGACUCGAGUUUUUGAGGGUUUUGGGUUUUUCUUGAUACCGAGUUCUGAACUUUUGAGAGAAUUUUUGUUUUCUUUUUCUUGUUUUCGGGUAUAGGGGGUUUAGGGGUUUUAAGUUCAAAAUGCCGGGGAUGAAAACCGUAAUCUUGAAUCAACAUGUGAGCUGGAACAAAUUGAAGAAAAAGCAACCUACCGUAGAGGAGAAUGCAGGUUACAUGAAGAGAAUUCGGAUUAUAUACAAUGAUCCUGAUGGUACCGACUCUUCGAGUGAAGAUGAUGAGGAAUAUGACAUUGAGGGAAACCUAUUUCAGCAUAGUAAGCGCUUUGUUUCGGAGAUUUUGGUUGUGGAAACAGAAUGUGAAUCAUCUGCAGGGACCAAUGGAGGCAGAAUUGGUCAUAGUACGGACUUUGAUGACUCUAAGAAAAGUAAUAGACUGCUCCCUAAGGGAGUUCGACGCAGAAAAUGGGGAAAAUAUGCUGCGGAGAUUCGAGAUCCAAUUCAAGGAAUUCGAAAAUGGCUUGGCACUUUUAAUACAGCAGAGGAGGCUGCUGCUGCAUAUCAACAAAAGAAGCGUGAGUUUCAGACCAUACAGUCACAGCGAAGGACUAAGAGCCACUGUGAAAACAUGCCAUUAUCAGAUAAGCAUGAGUUUGAGAGUAUGCAAUUAACGGAGGGAGACAAGCAUGGGCUUCAAGGCGUUCCUUUAUCAGAGGAGAGUCAGGAUUCAUCGUUUUGCCAUCCAUCACCAUCAUCUGUGCUUGAAAUGUCUGGUUCAGCUGCGCUUUGUUUUGGACUCGAAAGGUCGAAAGAAGAAUCUGGGGUGGAAGUUUCUGGGGGACAAGGCACUCUACAGCAACCAGUUUUUGAAGAAGAAGAAUCCAUUCCAAUGUUGCCUCCAAUGUUGCCACCGUUAGAUGUCGAACAGUUGAAUUUGGGAUGCGGCGACAAUUACGUGUUUUCUAGCUUGGAUCAGUUCUUUGAUGGCAUGUGUGAUAUUGUUGAUGAUGGUAUGACAGACAUAGUUGAUUAUCCCGCGUGCAAGGAUAAAAAAGGCGAGGCUACGUGUCUUCCCCCUCUCGACUUCAAUUUUGGUCAGCAGGAUUUCUCCUGGAUUGAUCAGAAACUGGAACACGGUAAGCCAUGAAGUUUUGUAGUUAGGAAUUACCAGUAGUUUAUCUAGUACAUGUUGCACAAUAAAAUGCUCAAGAAAUGUUUUAGCAGCGGUGUUUAGGGUUAAUCGUUUUCUAUGUUCGGAGAGAGUUCUUGGGUUUUCACUGUGCUUUUCAGCCGUCCAAGAUUUUUCCAACUCUCAGACUCAGAGUGGUAAUAUGUUUGAGUAAGCUAUUAUCUACUGAAACCUUUGUGUACUCCUUUUCUAUUUGUAUUAAUGACAAGUCCGUUUAGUCAAAUGCGUCAAACUGUGAUUUCCAGAUAAGUGGAAACGACUCUGUACUACAAACACAGAGCGAAUUGAUGUCGAUUCUCAAAGGUAAAGUUGCUUUGCCAAAUUUUGAAGAGAAGAUAAUACUGACAUGGCAGACAAGGAUCAUGUAACAUAGGAAGAGACAACAACAGUGGCUUUGGAUUAGCGUAUAGUGCGAGUCUUAGGAGGCGUGUCGUUUAAGGAUAAUUAUAUGGCCAGGAAAGGCGGCUAAUUGAAGUUAAGCUUUCACUUUCAAUUGAAACCAUCAUUUCGCCGGCCCGGUUCAAUUUCGAGGAAAAAAUCCUCGCCGGAUCAUUUUCUUAAGGAUCUUGUGAUCGUGACCGUUCAUCGUACAUUGUACAAUUAGUUUUCGUUAAGUACUAUUUAUAUUUAAUUUUAAAUUUUAAACUUUGAAAUUAUUUUUUACCGCACGAUGUACGAUGAACGGUCACGAUCACAGGAUUCUUAGGAUCCCCAAGAAAAGAAUCCGGCGAUGAUUCUUUUCCCAAUUUCGAUGGGUCCGAAAGCCACAUUCAUAACAAUAUAAAGCUGACCAAGUCCAUUGUGAAAAUUGGAAAAAAAAUUGAUAUCGAAAAGUAAUUGUUGAAUUCAAAAGGAAAUGCGAUUACGACAUGUCCUGCUUUGUUACAAGUCCUCGAUAACUCUACAAGUUAUAAGAAAAACACUUCAAGCCCGAAAUUAGCUUGACUCAAUCCAACAAACAAUAAAAACCCGAUACGGAAAUAUACAUUUUCAAAAUCCGAAUUAUUUUUCAACUCCCCGAAAAAACUAGGAGCACAGUAAAUGUGCAGAAGCCCCGUAAACAUUACAGCCAUUGGAACUUGACACGGAACAAAACGUUUAGAACGUACCCUCCCCAGGCUACAGCUUGAGUAGGGACUUCAGUACUGCUAUCAUUGACGAAAAGCCAGUUCGCAUACAACAGCAAGAUGAUCGCUGCCCCAUUGCUGCAAAGCAAAACCGAAACUUGAGAGAAAUACACAACACCUUACUACCUUAUCACACUUCCAAGUUUUCAGGAGAAUUUCUGAGUAGUUCACUUGUUUAUCGGUCUGUUCACUUUUCUACAGUACUGAACAUAGUGAAGAAGCUUAUGAUGCUCUAACUCAAACAAUUGUUUAAUUCUCCUUUAAAGCAAGCUAAGUGACUGAUAAAGCAUAAAUAAUUGGAGAUAGAAAGUUACCUUGCUGGGGAGUCCUCCAUCUCUUCUUAAAGCAUUGACUGGUAAGGUUUCAAGAACUCUGACAGGAACAAGUUCCUCGGUAUGCCUGUCACUCAGCGACCAAAAGUAUUUAAGUACAAAGCACAAAACAGUAACACUCAGCCUGUUAGAAUUUAAUGAAAUUCCGGACAAUAGACCGACCGAAAAACAAAAAGGCAUACCAAAUAUAAUCAACGGUUCCCAUAAACUCGGAGUGGUAUGAUGUUGCCAAGGGUUCUCCAGACCUAUCUCUGGUUCUACAACUACCCUGCAGAAAGGCACAUACAUACAGCAUUGGGAAAAAGAUAAUUGGAUUUAAGCAUCGAAAUUUUUUUAAGUAGAAAUGAUUUAAGACUUACAGGUACUCCCAGGUAUGCACUGCAAAGCUUCAAAUUGUGCCGAAGACAAGUGACUACUUCACUGCCAGUUGCAAGCCUUACUUCUUCCUCGCUCCAUAUAUAUGAAAAUGGCCUAAUAAAAAAUUUUGUAAUACCGCAUCCACAAUACAGAAUUCAGUUAGAACUUUUUUUAAAAGAAAAAAAAAAAAGUUCUUUAUCUGCAGUGCAUGUUGUUUGUACCAUACUUGACAAAUCCUGAAACUACCGAGCACCGGUCAACGUUAUACCGUCAAGGACCCAUAAGAGUUUCCCUCCAACCAGGAGGCCAAUCACAGCGCGACACAUGUCGACAUCAGAAGCCAAUCAUAGCGCGACACGUGUCAACAUAAAAAACCAAUCACAACUCGACACGUGUCAAUGUCAAAACAAAGCUAGAAACUCUCUUCUAUAAAAGGAGAUCAUUCUCCCACAAUAUUUCCUAAUGUCAUUUGUACUAAAUCAUUCACUAGUACUCACUAAAGGAGAGCUUGAACCUAUGUACUUGUGUAAACCCUUCACAAUUAAUGAGAAUUCCUCUACUCCGUGGAUGUAGCCAAUCUGGGUGAACCACAUACAUCUUGUGUUUGCUUCCCUAUCUCUAUCCAUUUACAUACUUAUCCACACUAGUGACCGAAGCAAUCUAGCGAAGGUCACAAACUUAACACUUUCUGUUUUACCAAAGUCCUCACUAAUUUUGUGCAUCAACACAUGUCAUAUGAGAGGUCAAGGAAACAAUAACUUAUGUCAUCCUGCUUUCACUUAAGCAGUUAACCGGAAAUUUCAAAAAAAUGGAUCUCCCGGGUUCUCACCAAACCAAAGGGAGUUUAACAAAAAAUAAAGAGAAAAGGAAGACUACUGAAUUCCAUAAAGUUAUAAACCAAUUAUAUCUAAUUUUAGGUGAUAAAUGCACUAGUCAUAUUGCUUGUACAUGUUCUAAUGCGACAUUUGAGGUAACUAUUCAUACACUGAAGUACCUGCUUGCUUGCUCAUUCUGAAAUCUGAAGCCUCUGUGAUUCGAGUUCAGGACAAACUGUCCGGAUAUACCUCUGCGGUCAUGUAGUCGGAUGUCCAACUGCAAUAAACCACAGCAAGAACAGCAUAACAUAAACUGAAACCCAUACAAAAAGGAGGGGAAAAAAAAAGACGACAAAGAAACAGAGGGGGAAAGCAGGAGAAGCCAAAAUGGAAUCACCUCAGAAGAAGCUAGGAAAUGGUACAUAGGACUCUGAACAUUUGACGAACCAAAAAAUUCGGUGUAAGUGACGUGGACCAUCUGAAUCAAACAUGCUUAAUAAACGAUAUCAUUGCAGGAAGUCACCUGUGGGAUGCUAUUUAGAUCUCCCGAAAUUAUAACAGGGAUGCUGCCCCACUCUUGUGAUAGCUCGUAAGCUUUUUUAAGAAACAGUCGGACCUAAUGCAUGAUCACAUUUGAGAUAUAUUACAAACUAUGCUGUACAGUCCCAUUUCUGAAAAAAACAUAGUAGAGAAUACCUGCCCUAGCUUGAUAUCUCCACGUUUUGGGUUGAAUAGUAGAUGUGUAUUCCCAAUCACUAAGCUUCUACUUUGGGUGUAUGGACUCCUGUAUGAUGUGAAAUAACCCACCAAUAUGUGAAGUAAAACCAAAUCCUAUACAAAAUAUGCAAACAGGACAGAAAGAAAACUUAUACUCACGUUCCGGGAGGUAUGCCUGACUCUAAUUGAUUUUGGUUACUCUGCAUUUUCAACAAACAAAAACAAUGUCUAGUGUAGCUAAGCAACAAUAGUAAAAUGGAAACAAGACAAUUGGCAGCACAAAGGGGUUCGUCGAAGUCAUAGAUUUAGAAGAUCACACUGGAAAUCAUAAUUUUACCAUGUGACAAGGCAUGUUUUACAUGGCUAGAUAAGGCCCAUAAGGGUAACAUUCAAACCUAAGUACCUAACCACAGAGAAGUGCACAUUUAAAAAAAUGUGAUGCUUGAUGCUACAGGAGCAAACCAUCAUGCCACCAUGACAUGACACAUCAAUAUGAAUUUCAACUAAUGAAUUAGCACCCCUUAGAAGAAAGUAAUGCCCCAUAUACCUUUAAUACACAAAGUUGAGCAACAUUGUUACGAAGUCCAAAACUUUGGAACUCUAUAUUUUCUUCAUGUAAAAGGCUAAACCUGCAUUCAGAAAAUCAUUGGCUAAAAGCUGGAAUAGAAAGAAACUAAAUUGAUAAUAAACAAGAAAUGACAAGUUAUACAAACAUACAAUACCAACAUGAUCGUAACUAAUGAAAAUUAGAUAGGAUAUAUAAUUCAAAUGCAGUCAUCAAACAUGUUUCUCAAGAAACUAUAAAACCACAACUAAUAUAAUAAAUAUCAAAGGAAAAACCAUCUAGCUAGUCAUAAAGAAGUAACAACAUAUUUGAUUUGAGGAGAAACAAGAUUGGAUAUGAACUGAUCUGUCAUUUGAACUUAGAAGUCAAAGCAACGUGCAGAAAUUUUACAAUUUUCGAAAGGUCAACUAAACCAUACAUUUCCUUUUUCCAAAAUAUGGCGCAUCCAUCAUUUGCUUCACCCGUGCGCGCCUAGGGAUAGUUGGUAAUCAUUAAUCAGAAUGUAUGCCAAUAAGAAGGUACUUGACAAUGGUAAGUGAUUACAUACUUGGAAAAGAAAAUUCAAAGCUACCUUAUAAACACCUUCGAACCCAUCUUUCUGGAAAAGAUGAGCUAAAUCAUCGAAACGAUCAACCUCCUACAGCCAUACAAGUAACAUAUUAUUAACUUAAAAUUAAGUGAAACAAUAAAGAUUCACACUUUAGCCAACACAUCAUAUCUACAUUGCCAAACUCUUCGACUUUACCUGCAAGCACAUGAUGCUAGCAUUGUAACGAUUGAUCUCCUUCCGAAUAAGCUUCCGGCGGCGGUUCCACUCCAAGAACAUGGGUGGGACUUUGUAGUACAACUCUGGGUGCUUGGAUGCAUUUUCCACACCCAGAAUGUUAUAAGAAACAACCACAAAUUUCUCUGGACACCACAACAUUCAAAAAAAUUAGCACAAUGCCUUGUUUGGCUGAGCAAUCCAAACAGCUAAUUGCAGUAACAAACAAUCCUAAGCGAACUCAAUUAAAGUCAAAUUAGCCAAACAAGGCAUUUGAAAAUUGGAUAUUUGUUUACCUCCAUAGGUGGAAGCAGAGGAGCUGCAGGGAGAAGAAGCCCACUCCCGGGAGCUCUCUGUCUCGGUUCGACUCGGUUGCCGCUUCGUGUGCUUCCGAUACGAAGGCGAUACAAAUUGGAACCUGGAUGACGACGGCGGCGGUGGCGGGUCGGAUUCUCGGGUUAGGGUUUUAGAUUCGGACUUCACUCUUCUGCGACGCCGCCUUUCGUGAGGCGGAGAGUGAGGGUGGUUCUCUGCGGCUUCUGUGUUGUGUGAAUGUUGCUUGCGCUUACGCCGCCGUACAUCGCCCGUUUCUUCCAUUCUGCCUAACUUUUUAGUUUUGGAAGCGGUGGCGGGAAGUAGGAACGCGCUCAAUUUGUGGUACGCGCUGCCAUGGUGAGAAUGGGGGUGGUUGCUCCGAAAUUCAGUUAACGGCGUUUAAGAGGAGGAGAAAGGGAUAGAUGUCCAAUGAAGUUAAAUGGCCCAAUAAAAUGUUCAAGAUCUCAGCCCAAUUUUUAUAACAAUUCAUUAGAUAUUGACAAAGACUUUUACAAUGUAAACAAGAGAAAUGCUAAAAAGACCCUUUAAUUGAAAAUUUUACUUUUUGUUAUUUUACUGUUUAACGUUAAUUUUUAUAUCAAUAUUAUAAAAUAUUAUGUCAAAACAUGAGAUGAUAGCGAGUCCAUAAAUAGUCUCGCUUUUGAAAAAAUUUCUUUAGCAUUUACUAGUUAGUUUCACCCAAUUUUAUUUGGAACGAGAUAAAUUUGGAGGCAGAUUGUCUGCUUUCCUGUUUGGAUGCCCUUCUCAUUCCCUUCUAUUUAUGCGGUCACGGUUAAGUCACGUUAACAUUUUAUAUUCUUAUUGCUUUUUGUCUUAUUAUCUCUAUAAAAAAAAUUGAUAUAAAAUGUUGACAUGGCUUAACCGUGACCGCAUAAAUAAAAGAGGAUGGGAAUAUCACUCAAAUAGAAGGGCAGACAAUCUGCCUCUGAUAAAUUUAGCAGUACCUCCUAAGCUUACCACUUUCCUCUUUCCAAUUAUAUCCCUCCACUUUUAACUGAGCUAUGAAAUCAUGGACUUUUUAAUCGUAUGAUUUCUCCUAUCGUUCUGUAAGUCUCAAAUUAUGUUCUUGCAAUGAAGUAGAAAGUGUGGAACUACAAUUUUCUUCCGUAAUUUGGACCAUUGAGUAGUUUUGAAAAUGGACGGUGAAGUUGACUCUAAAAAAUCAAAGUAUUUAAUAGUCUAAACUAACAAAAUAUGUGAUACUUAUGAUUGUUUGCAAAAAAAAUGACAUAUUUUGAAAGUUAAAAGAGAUCAAAGCUAAGGGUGCAUUUUUGCUCAUUCAAGUGGUUGUAAUGUUAACCAUCCUACUUAUUACUAUUAAAUGAGUUUAAAUUUUAAGAUUUUUAUCUAUCCACUACACAAAUCUUGAAAUUUAAACUCAUCUAAUAAUAAAAAAUAAAAUGAUGAAUUUCACCAUUACUUAAGCGUGAUGGGUACAAAUAUUUUCCAAAACUAAAUUAAAAUUGAAUCAACUAAUCCUUUUGAGUUCGUAUAAUGGAAGAACUCAUUUCAACGGCUAUUGCUCAUGGUGGCACUCAAGGGCCAAAGACUGGUUGGUCCAAAUGUCCAAUAGCCUAAGAAAUAAUUAAAGAAUCACACAUUGGUCUGCGCAACACCAACUUUCUCUCACUCUCAUUAAUUUAUGAUGUGUACUCCCAACAACUUCACUCCACUCGAAAUUAAAUUAAUCGACCAAAUUUUUUGAAAAAUUGGACAAAGAUAUGAUCUUUCCAACUAUUUUCAACAAACCCACCCAAGCAGAUUUACAAGAUGAGAUCAAAUCACCUAGUACUAGUACUUCUGCAACUUUUAUUCAUCUUCUCCAUUAGUCUAGCAAAUGCCAAGUCCACCAUAGAACCAUGUUCCUCCGCAGACUCCUGCUCCUCCCUCCUCUCCUACAUCCUCCCAUGGGACUCGAAACUCUCCGAAAUCGCCUUCCGCUUCCAACUAAACGUCUUCGACGUCCUGGCCGCCAACUCCAUCAACUUAACCAUUCCGUUCCUUGGAAACCAAAUUAUGAAAGCGAAAACCCUACUAAAGAUUCCCAUUUCGUGUCCAUGCGUGGACGGCAUCAGGAAGUCCGUUUUAACCUAUACCGUCCACGCGGUGGACACGUUGGAUCUGAUAGCGGAAGGGUACAGCGGGCUCGUGAGCGCCGAGCAGAUUAGGACUGUGAACGGGAUAGGCGCCAAGAAUCCGUUGACGGGCGGGCAGAGCGUUUGGUGCAGUUGCCAUGCACGUGCUUUAAUAAUAGUAACAACGGGGUUGCUUCUGUGUACAUGUCGUAUGUGGUGCAGAGUGGGGAGAGCUUGAGCGGCAUUGGCGGAGAGUUUGGAGCGACUGUGAUGGAGUUGGUGAGCAUCAAUGGGCUCGAUCAACCGUUGGUUGAUCCUGGUGACAUAUUGGCUAUUCCAAUUUCAGGUUAGUAGAAUUUCAAUGAAAUUGGUUUUUAAUACAAGCGAUAAUAUGUAAUACAGAGAAUUGAACUUAAGACUUCAAAUGCAAAGAUAAUUGUUACAACGAUGUCAUUCCAAUUUUUAUUGAAAUUUAGGGAGUGUAUUCAAUUGAGAAUUUGAGAGAUUUUAAUGGACUUACAAAUCCAUAGAUUUUUAUGAAGUCUGUGUUUGUUGGUUGUUAAGAUUUAAUUAAUUUAUAAGGAAGAAAGGUAGGUUGGUGAAUUUAUGUGAUUAUGUACAUAAUUAAUUUGGCGAGUAAUGUAAUUAUGUACUUGCUGGUCAAAGAUGUUCUUUGAGUUCUGCAUGUGUUUGGUUUUGAAGCUAUCAAGAGGAGAAUCUAUGUUUUGGUUAAUGUGGCAUAGUACAAUAAGUUAAAGAAAUGAAUGAAUAAAUUUUGGUACUCCCUAUACCAACAGUGCUUAGAUAUGUUCACCAAAUAUAUUAACAUAUAGAAUUGAUUUGGGCAAGUCAUGAAUUAUUUUAAGUUUAUAGAAUGAUCGGUGUGAAAAGUAUUUACCCUCCUUCGUUUGUAUAAAAAAAGAGCGUCGGAUUUAUAUAUGCAACAUAAUCGAAGCUGCACCUACGUACGUACAUACCAAACAUAUAGAUAGAUUAGCUAAUUAAUUAAAUUAAUAUAGUGUCACGGUAUAUGCAGCAUGUUCAUCAGCAAAUUUGAACUGGUACAAUGAGAGCUUAAUAGUUCCAAAUGGUUCAUACGCCUUAACUGCCAACAACUGCAUAAAGUGCUUUUGCAGAUCAACCACUCUCAAGUAAGCAUGUUUAAAUUACCAGUAUAUCGUGCUCACAAUUUUCUACAUGUUAAAAGCCUGGCAUAUUGUACAUUAAUUUGUACUGAGCUGACUAUCUUGGUUGGUCAUCAGCUUGCAGUGUUCCCCAUCUGGCAUUGUCCCCUCAUGCUCUCACCUGCAAUGCAAAGACUCCGAUGUCUUCAUCGGCGAUGUGAUAACCAAACCAACAGCAUUAGGUUGUAAUGUCAGCACAUGUGUGUACCGAGGCCACAAUGGCCGCAAGAUUUUCAGGAGGUAAGAGCAAGGAGAAAGUCUUACCUAAUAACGCUUGUAUGGGGCACCAUUUACACAAAAAGUAGAUCCAGCUGCAAGUCGCAUGCACUAGCAAGACAAACCAUUGCAAUUGGAUAUUUAUUAGGGUGGUUUGCUAUCCAAACACUCAUUUUUACCUCCCACACACUCCUUUCAAUUUUCGGUUAUCGGAUCGAAUGAAUGAAAGAAGAUCAAAGAAUAGAAAUUAACAAGGAUUGUGUGAGAGAUAAAAAUGAAUGUGUUGAUAGCACCACCCUAUUUAUUAACACACAAGAACAAGAUUCUAGAGCCAAUUUAACAAUUACUUGUAUUACUUUUUAACUAUAUCCUUUUCUUGCGCAGUUUGGAAAAUUCUUCUCAUGCCAAUUGCUCAGGUGACAAUUACUAAAACCUAUUUAUUUUUCUUUGAUGAUUAUUAUUAUUUUGUUUCUGUUUACUGUAAAAACCUGGCUGUGCAGAUGUACAAGAUUACAGCGCAGUGUCACCAGAGCAAUCUUCUAAUCCUGUAAUCCCAUAUAUAUCUUUACCUCCAUCAGCAUCACCAUCUUCUUAUCCACCCAUGGGAAUUGGUGCUUAUGGACCUACGAGUACACACAACCCCAAUAUCUCUAAUCACAGCAGAUUGCUUACUCAAUCUUCAUACUACAUUUUGUUGGUUGUCCUUGCCCUCUACUUUUUCUUGUGAUAAAAUUAAUCGAUGCCAAUUCUAAAUGUCCCCAUGUAAACUUUUUGUUCUUUUGAUUCAUAUUUUUCAAUUAGAUGCUCAAUCCAACCAAUGAAAUGACAUAAAAUGUCAGAAGCAGCAACAUUUGCAAUGUUUUAGGUUACUGCCCCUUCUCAUUCGUAUGGUUUCAACUUUUAACCUAAUUUCUGUUUGUGCAUAUUUGGAUUUUACUACGGAUCAUAGUUACCCUAAUCCGUGCACGUAUGGUAGUAGCUCAGAGUUGUCAGCGGAGUUAUGCUCACAAAUCAGAAAUCUACACGAGCUUGACCCAUUAUAAAUUGGUAUGCGUUGGGGUCGUCUGAGCCAUUCCGCUAAGAAAACUUACACAUAAAUUUCAGCCCAAACUCUGUCCACAAAGUCCAAUUGUUCAUCUGAUCAUCAACUGCUUCUUCUUCAUGAGAAAAUAUGGUUUGUAACUAUGUUUAUUAUCCACCGCCAUUAGUAUUAGUAAUUUCUUUGUCACAUGUCAUGCGAUAUAGAAAUACUAGUGUGAAAUAAUAUCACUGAUUGCACCACAAAAAUCUUCCCUUUUUGUUAACCAAUAUCAAUGGAAGAUCUGUGAUCUACGAAGAACAGUUUGAGAGAGAGAGAGAGAGAGAGAGAGAGAGAGAGAGAGAGAGAGAGAGAGUGAGUGAAGAAAGAAGUUGUAUAUGAUUUUCCUUAAUCUCCAAGUAAUGCAAUGUACAUCACUAUUUAUACACAACAAACUUAACUACCUAAUUAUCCCAUAGCUCCUAUUCUUGUGACAAGUGUAACAAUCCUACACUCACUAACUCAUAUUCUAACAUCCCCCCGCAAUCUCUUGCUUUGAUAAGCUAAGCAUGAGAUUCUCACAAUGUGUUCGAAACAAAGGAGCACUCAAUCCCUUGGUCAAGAUAUCUGCAAACUGUUCUCUGGAGGAAACACUUGGCCACUCGUUCCCUAACAAAAUGCACAUCGAUUUCAAUAUGUUUGGUCUUUUGAUGCUGAACCAAAUUAAAUGAAAGAGCAAUAAUGGAGAGAUUGUCACAAAACAAUACUAGAGCUUGAGAUAUAGGAACAUGCAGAAACACAAGUAAUUGUUUGAUCCAAUCGAGUUCUGCAGAAGUAGUAGACAAAGCAUGAUAUUCGGCCUCAGUAGAGGACCUGGAAACAGUUUGUUGUUUCUUAGAAGACCAAGACACAAGAUUUGGUCCAAGAAAAAACAACGAACCCAGUAGUGGAGAGAUUGUCACAAAACAAUACUAGAGCUUGAGAUAUAGGAACAUGCUGAAACACAAGUAAUUGUUUGAUCCAAUCGAGUUCUGCAGAAGUAGUAGACAAAGCAUGAUAUUAUGCCUCAGUAGAGGACCUGGAAACAAUUUGUUGUUUCUUAGAAGACCAAGACACAGGAUUUGGUCCAAGAAAAAACAACGAACCCAGUAGUGGAUCGUUGAUCAUUUGGGUCUCCUGCCCAAUCAGCAUCACUAUGUUAGAUUCAAAGCUCCUAUAUGAUAGUUGAUUCCCAAGUGCAAUGUGCCCUGUAAGUACCUGAGUAUGCGCUUCACAGCUGUGAAAUGAGCAACCAUUAGAUUCUGCAUAAACUGGCAAACCUGAUGCAAAGAGAAGGCAAUAGCAGGCCUGGUAAAAGUAAGGUACUGUAAUGCCCCCACAAUGCUUCUAUACAACUUAGGAUUUCCAUACGGCUGACCAUCAUCCUUAAGCAAUCUGUUAUAGGGUAGACAUGGAGUAUCACAAGAUUUAGACUUAUUCAUUUCUGUCUUGAGUAACAAAUCCUGAACAUAUUUGGCCUGAGACAGAAAUAACCCAGUUUUGGUUUUGGAAAUUUGAAUUCCCAGAAAAUAAUGCAAAUCGCCUAAGUCUUUGAUCUCAAACUCAAUUGUGAGAGAGUGAAUAACAUCCUGAAUAGCAUUGGAUGCACUGCCAGUAAUAAUGGUGUCACCAACAUACACCAAUAGGAUAACAAUCUCAUAAUGCACUUGUUUCACAAAUAAGGAAGAAUCAGAGUAUGUAGAUUUGAAUCCCAGUGUUGGUAGAAAUGAAGUAAACCUUUCAUUCCAAGCUCUGGGAGCUUGUUUUAACUCAUAUAAAGAUUUAUGAAGUUUGCAGACCAAAUGUGGAUGAUUGGGAUCCACAAAUCCAAGAGGUUGAACCAUAUAUACUUCUUCUUGGAUAAUUCCAUGCAGAAAUGCAUUCUUGACAUCCAACUGCCUUAAACUCCAACCAAAGUGUGCUGCAAGGGCCAAAACAAUUCUGACAGUAGUUGGCUUGACAACAUGACUAAAAGUUUCUCCAUAAUCUUGACCUGGUUCUUGACUGAAGCCCUUAGGCACUAACCUAGCUUUAUGUCUAGCAAUAGAGCCAUCGGCAUGCUUUUUAAUCUUAAAUAUCCACUUACACCCGACUAAAUUUUUAUUUGCAAGUAAUGACACCAAACUCCAUGUGCCCUAAGAAUGAAGCGCAUCAAUUUCUUCUGUCAUAACUUUCAUCCAAACAAGAACUGUUAAUGCAUUUUUGUAAUUAAGAGGCUCAACCAAAGACAAAUCAACACCACCAGAUUCUUGUAGAGUAGUCAACAAAGCAUUCUUCUUCACAAUUCCACUUUUGCUUCUAGUUUGCAUGGGAUGCAAAUUCAUAGGAGGAAUCUCCAGUACUACUUGCAAAACUUCAGGUUGAAAUGAAGAACCUUGAUGCAUAUGAACAGAUGAUAUUGCUUCAGCAUUGGACUCAAGUACCACAGGGACUGAGGGAGAAGAUUCAGAUGUACCAGUAAUGGACAAAGGUGAGGGUUGGACAAAUGGAGAAGAUAAGGAUGACAUGGGUGAUGGUUGUGGUGUUGGAAGAGAAGACUCAAUAGAAUUACUAAGGGUAUGAGUUGUAUCAAUAGUGGAAGGGACAUGAGACACAGGUAGAACAACAACAUUAGUGUUUGUGAAGGUAGGCAAAAAAGAUGGAGGUUGAGACAUCACAGAAGGUGUAUGGGAGGACUUGGAAAUGGAUAAGUCUGGAAAUGGAUAAUCAUGUUCAUCAAAUAUAACAUGCCUAGAAAUGUAGGUUAUGUUUCCAGAUACAUCAUAACAAAUAUACCCUUUGUACUGUGAAGCAUAACCUAAAAACACACAUUUAAUGGUUUUGGGUUGAAGUUUGGUACUGAGAUAUGGUUUUAACAAGGGAUAGCAGGCACAACCAAAUAUUCUCAAAUGGGAAAUUUGUGGAACAACUCCAAAUAGAACUUCAAAGGAAGACUUAUCAAGGAGAACGGAUGUGGGCAUUCGAUUAAUCAGGUAUGAUGUAGUUUGGACAACAUAGGACCAGAAAUAGGAAGGUAACUUAGCAUUCUGCAAUAAAGGGAUUGAGGUUUCUAUAAGAUGCCUAUGUUUUCUCUCAGCCAACCCAUUUUGUUCAGGAGUAUAGGGACAUGAUUUCUGAUGAAGGAUACCCUUAUCUUUAAGAAAAGAUUGAAACUGUUUGCUAAUAUACUUUCCCCCCCCCCAUUACUUUGGAAAAUCUGAACACGACUUGAGAACUGAGUUUGAACAUAGUUAUAAAAUGUAACAAACACAGAGAACAAGUCAUUUUUAUUGAUUAAUGGAAAUAACCAAUAGGGCCUUGUACAUUCAUCAACGAAAAUCACAUAGUACCUAUAUCCAUCUUUGGAAAUACAAGGAGAAUGACCCCAAAGGUCACUAUGUAUGGUGUGAAAAGGUUGGACAAACUUAUUGACACUGUGGUGAAAAGGAAGUUUACAAAACUUACCUUAUAGACGACUGUGACAUAUGACUGGUGAAGAGACCUGUUUACAUUGGAUAUGAGCUUUAUGCAACAUCAAUGUAACAAUUUUAUUUGUAGGGUGACCUAGUCUAUGAUGCCAAGUAGAAGAUAGUGCUAGCUGACCAAUAUAUGCUUGAGGUUGUUGUGUUGUAUUUUUUAAGAUAGAUGGAGAAGAUGCAAGAGGAAUGGGAUAUAGUCCAUUACUGCACAACCCUUUGUAGAGAAUCCUCCCUAUGGCCUUGUCCUGAAUCCAAAAGCAAAACGUGUCAAAAAUUAGCCAGCAGGUGUUAUCCAAACAGAUCCGAUGUACUGACAACAAGUUUUGGUACACAAAUGAUAGAAUUCAAAGUUAUUGGUUUCACUCUGGUGUUAAUCAGAAUUGACCAAUGUGUGAUACUAACAAACCUUCACCAUUUGCUGUUUGAAUCGUUUCAUUGGAUGGAUAAGGAGUCGCCAAAGACAAGUUAGACAGAUCUGCAGUCAUAUGGUUUGUGGCACCAGAGUCAGUAAGCCAGACUUGAGGGAGGCCUUAAGAGGUGGAUGCCUGAGAUGGUUGAACUGCAGUAUACAUAGCAUGCAUAGAAGAUGGUUGAGAUUGGAAAUGUUGAGAAGAAGUUCCAUAAGUCUGAGAAGACAUCGGAGGAUAACUCUGAUAGGAACCACCACCAAUAUAAUUUGGACCUUUGUCAUUAUAAAAACAGUACCAUGUGGAAAGAUUUGUUUUGCCACAGAUGUGACAUUUGGAUCUCUCAGGAGGUUUAGAACCACAAAAUGGUGCAGUAUGACCUUCACUGUUGCACAAUUGGCAUGUAGGAAUAAGAGGGGCAGAUGGAGAAGAAUAGUAUUGACCUGGAGAUUGACCAAGAACACCAGGGGUUGGUGUAGGCAAAACAUGAGUCUGUGUGUAAAGUUGAGGUCUUGAGUUAAAUGACCUCUGACCUUAAUUAAAUUUUCCCUUGCCUUUGUUCCUAUUAAAAGACUUGUAGCCACCAUUAGGUUAGGAAGAUUGACCAUGAGAACCAGUAGACUGCUGAAGUAAUGGGGCUUAAGACAUAGGAGGUCCAGAGUUAGCAGCCAUAGUAGUGGGAUAUGAAGGAGCAACAGAAACAUUAUCCACAAUACUUUUUUUUCAGCCAAUAAUUGGGAUCGAAACUUAAGGGAAAUCACACUUUCUCUACCCCUAACCACACAUCGGAAGGUAUUAUACUCAGGAGGGAGUCCAUUCAAGGCUAGAAUUACAAUGUCUUCAUCAGCAAAAUAAACCCCUGCAGCUGCCAAGUAAUCUCUAGCCUCUUUGAUUUUAUGUAAAUACUGACUGACAUUAUCAGACCCUUUUCUGGUGUUCUACAAAUUAGACUUCAUUUGAAAUAUGCUAGUUCUUGACACAAUGGAAAAUUGUUCUUUAAGACGAACCCAAAGUUCUUGGGAGCUUUGGUUACCAAUCGCACAAGACAUAGCAACCGGAGACAAAGUCGCAGUAAUAAGUUGCAUAACAGUCCUAUCAUGCAUUUUCCAUAUGGAGCAACUUAUCACAUUUCUUAGAAGUAGAAGAGUCAGAAGAAUUGAUACCAGAAGCAGCAGAGACAUUGGGCACAGGGUAGUGAUUGGAUCCAUCAACAAAUCCCAUAAUGCCAUUGCUUUCCAGCAUGAGUUGCAUCUGAAAAUGCCAAUUCAGGUAGUUGGAAUCAUCUAAUUUCACAUUCACGGACGUGGAGAUAGUAGAAAUGAGGGACGUAAUUGGAGAUUGAAUAAUCGUAAGUUGAGCAGCAGUCACUAUUGUUGCAGAAAACAACCAAAUCAGAUCACUGUGCAAGAAAAAACUUCACUGAGAACAAAUCGCAAACACUUGGAAUGAACACGACAGAGAGAUAUCAAGGAAAGAUCGACCACCACACAAGAUCGAGCCAAACCCUAGACAAUGUAGGUGCACGAAGACGAAGAAAUCCUUGAGAAUCAAGAAACAGAAAUCAGAGGCAGCCGAAGACAGAAAUCGAAAGCAGCGAAAGCAAGAAGAUGGAUCGACGUAUCAUGCGCAAGCAUCAUAGGCGAUUGAUACCAUGUUAACCAAUAUCAAUGGAAGAUAUGUGAUCUACGAAGAACAUUUUUAGAGAGAGAGAGAGAGAGAGAGAGAGAGAGAGAGAGAGAGAGAGAGAGAGAGAAGAAAGAAGUUGUAUAUGAUUUUCCUUAAUCUCCAAGUAAUGCAAUGUACAUCACUAUUUAUACACAACAGACUUAACUACCUAAUCAUCCCACAUCUCUUAUUCUUGUGACAAGUGUAACAAUCCUACACUCACUAACUCAUACUUUAACACUUUUCACAGCACAAUUUCGAUUUUUUUUUUAAAUUUCGGUUUUUCUCUUUUAACCAAACCUGGGUUGUUAUAAUCAACAUAUAAAACCUAUCCCAAACCAAAUUAGGGACUGAUUGUUCCUGCAGGCUGCAGUGUGUUAGAGACGUUAUAAAUCUCCACCAUGAACAUAUGUAUGUGGAGUUCAGUUCCCUCACCAGUACUGGUUACUCAUUCUUAUCCCCAGCCAAAAGCUAGCUAACGUGGCACCUAUCUCUUCUUAGAGCACCCAGAUGUCGAAAGCGAACUCGAUCCCACCAUUUCAUCAGUUACCUAGAUUUCAAGCCAUCAUGGUCUAACUGACAAUUACAUAAUGCUGCGUUUGUUGGACAUGAUUUAUGUAUCAUGUAUGGAUGAUAAACUUACAUGACAGUAUGUUUAAUAUGUGUGGAACCUGUCACUCUUCUUCCCUUGUGAUAUCAAAUCGAUCAAUACGUUUCAUAAUAAGUUUGAUUACAUCUAUGGAAAUUCGAUUUAUAGGGCUCAGUGGCCGGCACAAUUUGAGUUUCAGAGAAUUAAGACUUAAGUUGAGUUUUAAAAGAUUAAGUGAGACUUGAGACUCGAGUUAAGUUUCAGCCUUUUACAAUGAAAACCAUAAAUGCCACAAUAGCAAAGUUUGGAUAUGACAUGGGCAAUUUUUGUUUGUUUGUUUUAAUUUAUGGUUUUGUACAACUUUUGUAGCAUUCUAGCCCAUAACAAGAUUGGGUUUGCACAGAAAUUUAAUGAAAUUUCGUCCUGGCUUGACUCCAACUGUAAACUUGUCUUGAUAGCAAAUUUUCAGCAAAAUAUUGACAAAAUUCUAUCUUCUUAUUACGAAAUUAUCGCACACAAGUAGUAAAUGUAGAUGUGUACAUGUUACCUUUCUAUUUUUGUGCACUUGAGCGUGUGAAACAUACUCAAGGGACCAAAGUCAAUCAACUUGCUGCUAAUCAACGAUUGUGGGUGGUGACACAAUAAGGUGGAUGCAAUUUGCGAAAAAAUGGUUGGUUUAGUGGGUAAUACCUUCGAAUUUAUCUCUUGAUUCGUAGUUUGGAGUUCUCAUAGCCCACUCGUUAGUGCUAAAGCUGCUCCUUAGCGCAUACAGCCGUUCGUUGGUGCUAAACCUACUCUUUAGUUAGCGCACAUAGUACGUGGUGAGACUUAAGCUUAUGCCUGGAUAUAAGUCCAGUGAGAAUAACAACUUGAUCAUGACUUAUGGGUGAAAAAUUAACAAGAGCUUUAAUUCUCUCUUAAGUCUUAAGUUCUUAACUAGAAAAAGAUAUUUUUGUAUUUAUCACAUGAGAGAUUGUAAUAUUACUGUUUUUAUGACUCAGAUUCGUUUACCAAUAGAAGUAAAAACCUAGAUAUCUAAAUUUAGCAAAUGGCUCCGCAGUAAGUUCAUCAUUUGGAGAGAACCACGUUCACAUAGUGGUUUAGGGUGAGACUGAGAGAUGGGAGCCACAAGAGAGUUGAAAGAAACCCUAAGAGGAGGGGCGGGGACCAAUAACAAGUUUCUACAUAAACCAACAAAAUAGUCUCUCUCAUUUUUCUCCCACAACACACAUGCUACAUACACACGCAAUUGCGGCCUUCCCUAACUCUAGUUUGGCCCACAUGGAUCCCUCAGUUUGACUUACAACCAAUAAGAAUUCAGAGAAACAGAUCAAGUUGAGAAGCUUAGCCAAUAAGCAGUGAGAUACGACCUCCUUGUGGGUCCCAAUAAGCUUUAGCAACAUCCUCUCCUCUCUUCCUAAUGUAGCAAAGCAAAGCAAACCACCAAAAAAACUGCAUGGCAACGAAGGUAAGAGUAAAAGCGCUGCAGUGGGUCUUCCUUUCACUCUCACAGUCUUCUCCCAGUCCCCACACUAUAAUUAUUGAACCAUUUGGGCCUAAAUAAAUAUGUGAAGCCACCUCAAUAUUCCGUGUUCAUGAGCUGUGACUACUUACAACAAAAGCACUUUGUUCACCUCAACAUUACUCCUUCUGAAUUCAGUUGUGACUUCUAACAAAAGUAAUUGUUCAUCGGUUUGAUUCUUGCUAGAUUUUAUCAAACACUUUGCUGUUUGCUGCUGCUGCUGCUGCAGUAUGAUCACGGAUAAGAAAGCUGCAAAUGCAAUGGGAGGCAACACAUCUCGAGCUUGCGAUAGCUGUUUGGUGAAACGGGCACGAUGGUUUUGUGCUGCUGAUGAUGCUUUUCUUUGCCAAAGAUGUGAUGCCUCGGUGCACUCGGCGAACCAGUUAGCAAGCAGACACGAGAGGGUUCGGCUCCAAGGUUCAUCUUUCAAGGCCAAUGCAUCGGUGCAGCUGAUUGCGGACCAAGCUGCACCGGCUUGGCACAAGGGGUUCAAGCGCAAGGCGCGAACCCCUCGCCACAACAACAAGCCUGGAUUCGUGGCCAAAGAUGAGCAAGAGAAAGUAGGGCUACACCCUCCUCUACCUUUUGUUCCGGAAAUCGGGUGCCAAGAAGCAAAUUUGAUGGAGGAUGAGGAAAAUGAAGAUCUAGAGCAGCUUCUUUAUAGGGUUCCAAUUUAUGACCCUUUUGCAGCCGAGCUUUGCAAUAUUUCGUCAAGUGAUCAGGUUGGGAACAAUACUGGUGCUAUUGAUCUCGAUGCCGAAGAGAUUGAGAUCAGAAAUACGGGAAAUGACUUGGACAAUUUGGGAGGGUUUCUACGGUCGGAUAUGGAGCUGGCGGAGUUUGCUGCUGAUGUGGAGAACCUGCUUGGAGGGGGACUAGAUGAGGAUUGUAGUGACAUCAAAGGAGUCCUGGGGCUAUUGGACGAGGGUAAAGAAGUGAAGGUUGAAGAGGAAGUUGAAGGGAUAGAAUUUAAUCCUUCGAUCUUGGAUUGGAGCUUGUAUUACGAUCAGUCAUCAGCUGUACCGGUACUAAUGGGAAGUGAGGAGGACAGGGAGGAAGAGGAGAAGGUAGUCCUGCUCAUGGGGGCUCAGAGUAGUGAUGAGAUUGGAUUCAUGGAGAACAAGCAAAUAGUGAUGAAGAGGAAGAACAUAUGUUUGAAGCUAGAUUAUGAGGCAGUCAUCACUGCCUGGGCAAGCCAAGGCUCUCAAUGGACGACUGGAACUCGACCGGAGCUCAACGCUGACGAAGGCUGGCUAGACUGCAUGGUAACAAUACUACUAUCUCUCUCUCUCUCUCUCUCUCUCUCUCUCUCUCUCUCUCUCUCCAUUUUCUGGUCCUACUGAUCUACUAGACUACUGGCCAACAAAGGCAUACUCAUUUGAAUCACUCGGUGCACUCUUCUGCCUGUGAUUACUGUCUACUGAAAAGAGUAAAAACAAAAAUCAUGUCCAUAUGAUUACAUAUAUAUAAUUACAUCAAAUCCGCUAUACUUUUUUAAUUUACUCCGUAAGGAUGAUUGCCUAUAUAAUUAAAAUCUAUCUAGCUAACUUGUGUUAAGUAAGACUAUUAAGCUCGCACAAUUUUUACAAAACCUAUAAUUAGGUUUUUUUCUUUCGAUCAAACCUAAUUAGGGUUAUGUAUUAUAUGGUUAUUGCAGGGUAUGUGGCCUACAGAAAUUCAUCAACCACAUGGAGAUUCAGCAGGAUGUGUAAGUCGAGGAAAAGGCGAUGACCCGGGAAGAGAAGCAAGAGUUUCUAGGUACAGAGAGAAGCGAAGGACGCGACUGUUUUCGAAGAAGAUAAGAUACGAAGUUAGGAAGCUGAACGCGGAGAAGCGGCCUAGAAUGAAAGGUCGAUUCGUUAAGAGGACAACGUCCAGCUUUGGUGGGGUGGGAAGUAGUAGUAGUAAUGCUCCUGCGGCUGCAUUUCCCUACCUCAUGAUCAAUAAAUAACCGUACGUAGCUGUAGCUCUCGUGAUGAUUUUCACGAACAUCCCAAUUUUGCUUGUUUUAAUUUCAUGGCAAAAUUGGACUGACACUGAUGUAUAUGCAAUGUGCCAUAUAUAUAGCCUGCAUUUGUGCGAUAAAUGAAGCAAGUUGGUAGCUUAUAACUAACACAGUUAGUCCAUCUCUCUCACUACCAAUUUAUUAAAAGGCGAGGGCAGAGGCGUAGGCGUCCCAUGAAUAGCCCCGCUUAGGCGUGAAGCGUGAGGCGAAGCCUCAUGGUACCUAAAAUUUUAAUAUAUUAUUAUAACUAAAUCAAAGAUAAUAUAAUUAUCUUUAUAAAAUAUAAUUCUUUAUAAAAUAUAAUACUUUGUAAAACAAAUAUAAUUAUAACUAAAUCAAGGAUAAUAUUGUCUUCCUCAUUACUAAUCUUGUUGUACUUAGGAACUAUGUCAUAAAGUCUUAAAAUGUUAUAAUUAUUUAUUUUAUUGUAAGCAAUUAUAGAGAACUUCAAGAAAAAUAAGGGUGAGUGUCCACAAUUAUAGAGAAUUUUAAGGAAAAUAAAGGUUGAACGUCACAAUUAUAGGAAAAUUCAAAAGGAAAUAAAGAUUGGGUGGAGGGGAAUUUAAAAUGAAAUAAAGGUUGAGUGAGCAAUUAUAGGGAAAUUCAAAAGGAAAUAAGGGAGCAUUUUUGCUCACCACCAUUUAGUGUGGUGUAUGCUUACCACCCUAUUAAUUACCGUUAGAUGAGUUUGAAUUUUGAGAUUCGUGUAGUGGAUAAGCACAAAUCUCAAAAUUCAAACUCAUCUAACGGUGAUAAAUAAGGUGGUGAACAUACACCACUCUAAAUGGUGGUGAGCAAAAAUACACCCAGGAAAUAAAGGUUGGGUGGAGCAAUUAUAGGGUAAAAGGAAAUAAAGGCUUAGUGGAGCAAUUAUUAUAGGAAAUUUAAAGGAAAAUAAAGGAUGAGUGGAGUAGUUAUAGGAAUUUUGAAGAGAAAUAAAACUUUGCUAAUUAAAAAUAGGAUUUGGGGAGAGAAACUAUCUCUUCCUUCUUUGUUGAAACUUGAAGUUUCCUGCAUUUUAGAAACAACCAUAGAUUUCGAAGGAAAAAAAUGCCCAAGUUGAACGCCUAGGCGUGCCUCAGCUGCCUAGGCAUGCCCUAACGCACCCUACACACACCCCCACAAAAUAAAGGCGAAAACCCAGCCGCCCAACCUCAAAGGCCGCCUAGGCCCUCCCGAGAUGAGUUUUUUUAAACAUUGCUCACUACUACUCAUAACUAGCUAGUACUUCAAAUUCGAAGCUUUUACUGAACAAAGUCAGAAGAGCUCCCUCUCUCACAUUAACCAAUAUCAAUUUUGAAAUUGUGUGUGCUAAUUGAUGCAUGUAUAGCUAACAACUGGUUGGCAAUAGCUACUACUAUCUUAGACUUGAGUAACAAUAUUCAUGUUUUCUUAAUUUACGUAAGAGUAAAUUUUUAGAAAUCCCCCCGAAGUUAUACGUACUUCACUUCUUAUUACCUUUACGUGUCGGUGUGCACAUGCCUUUAUAUAAUGGCAAUUUGGAUGAAAUGUGAAGAAAAUAGACAGUAUGGGCUACAAUCAUUCUUUUGAGUCCUUAACUUACUAAAAACAAAAGUUCAAAGAGUAAAUCAGAAAGCAAAUACAAGUUCAUGGAGUAUUUUGGCAAUUUACUUAACAAUGUUAGAGAUAAUGUACACAUAGGAUGGUGACACUUGUAAACAGAUUAAGAGAGUUAGUUAUAGUUGUUAAGAAUAUGCAAAUGUAAGUAGGGUGUAGUAUAUAUACUCUUAUAGUGUAAUAGCUUGGUGAUUAAGAAAAGAAAUAGAAAUAUCUUUCUCUCUCUAUGAAUCUCUUUCUCUGACUUCUCUCUCUAAGAUUACUGUCUGUGAUUCUCUUCUUCUUAGUUUACAUGGUAUCAAUCGCCAUUUUCGCUCUUGCUGUUUUCUUCGAUCCUUCGGCUGCUUCCGCUCAUCUUCUCACUAUGUGAUUCUUUCUCGUCCUCGACGUCGAUUCUUUUCUGUAUGCUUGGACGUAUUCUGGUAUUCUUCUUCGUCUUCUGUGAUUUCUAAGGUUCUUGGUGUUUCUUGAUCUUCUUGCAUCGGUGUUUCCAGAGUGUGCACACCAGGUGUUUGUGAUAUUUCCUCUCUUGGAUUUCUAUCUUCUUUCUGUAUAAAUGGUGUCUGCAUCUCAAUUACAACUCCUUCAGUCGCCUAUUACUGCUCUCAUUUCUACUAUUUCAACAUCUAUCAAUGUUAAGCUUGAUGAUUCGAAUUAUCUUAAUUGGCAUUUCCAAAUGCAAUUGUUACUGGAAAGUAAUGGAAUCAUGGGGUUUGUUGAUGGUUCAACACCCUGUCCUGCUCGGUUUGCUCCUAAUUCUGGUGAUUCUGGAGUUAAUUCUGCUACUUCCUCCUCUGGUUUAGAAACAGAUGAAUAUACUGUUUGGAAAUUACAUGAUCGCGCACUUAUGCAGCUUGUUACUGCCACCUUGUCCCCAGUAGCUAUGUCAUGUGCAAUUGGUAGUGCUAGUUCUCGGGAGUUGUGGACUCGGCUUAAGGAACAGUUUUCUACUGUUUCCAAGACCAGUAUUUUUCAGAUGAAGUCCAAUCUUCAAACCAUUAAAAAGGGGUCAGAUUCAGUCACUCGGUAUUUACAGAAGAUCAAAGAAGCAAGGGAUUAUUUGUCUGCUGCUAGUGUGUUUCUUGAUGAUGAAGACAUUAUUAUUUUGGCUCUUAAUGGUUUGCCUCCAGAGUAUAAUACAUUCUGCACGGUUGUUCGAGGCCGAGAAAGUGUUAUGACUAUGAAAGAGUUUCGGACUCAACUCCUUGCUGAAGAAGAAAUUGUUGAUAGUCAUUCUCAUGUUCCUUUUCUGUCUGCGAUGGUUGUCAAUAAUACCUCAUCCCCUGUGCACAAAGGUUCUAAUCAGGCAUUUAACUCUGGCGGUGGUCAUUCCUUUCAUCAUACUGGGGGUCAGUCCUAUGGUGUUUCAGGAGGUUUCAAGCCGUAUGUUCACAAGAACAAAGGGAAGGGCAAGUUCAAUGGAGGUCAGCGAUACUACACUCCUCGGCCAAUGUAUCAUACACAAACCCAUGUCUUCCCUACACCUACUCCUGGUGUUCUUGGUUCGUCGCCCUCAGCACCUCUAUUGCCGACUUGUCAAUUGUGUAAUGCUGAAGGUCACACUGCUCCUUAUUGUUACAAUAAGUCUUCUGAUCGCCAACAGUGUCAAAUCUGUGGCAAGUUCAAUCAUACAACUUGGUAUUGUUUUUACAAUGAAAAAGGGCCUUCCUAUAUGGGACCUCAGUAUUCUCAACGGGCAGGUACUCCAAUGCAGGGAUACUCUUACAAUGUGCCUCAUGUGUUGCAUGGCUCUCACCCCUCUUCCCUGCAAGCAAUGAAUACUGUAUUUUCUCCCACAUCACCAUCUUCUCAUAUGGGCUCUGUGGCAUCUACUUCUCAAUCACCACAAGUCUGGUUGACAGAUUCCGGUGCUACUACACAUAUGACAGCUGAUCUUAACAAUUUGUCCUUAGCUUCUCCAUAUCCUAGCAAUGAAGUUGUUCAAACUGCCAAUGGUGAAGGUUUGCGAGUUUCUCACAUUGGCAGUUCUAUUCUUAACACUUCUAAAAAUCCUAUCACAUUAAAUUCCAUUCUCUAUGUUCCUAAAUUGACACAGAAUUUAUUGUCAGUUCAUAAGUUGUGUUUGGACAACAAUUGCUGGCUAAUCUUUGAUGCAUUUUACUUCUGGAUUCAGGACAAGGUCACAGGGAGAAUCAUGUACAAGGCCCCGUGCAGUAAUGGACUCUAUCCUAUCCACUCACUCUCUACUAGCUUCCUACCUUCUCAAUCUUCACAUGUUGCUUUUCUUGGACAUCUUGUUGGUUCCAGUCUAUGGCAUACUAGGUUCGGACAUCCAUCCAAUAAUGUAGUUUCUUUACUUCUUAAACAAGCAAAUAUUCCAUGUAAUCAGGAUGUUGUCUCUCAUAUGUGUCAAAGUUGUCUCAAGGGUAAAUUCACACAGUUACCAUUUCCUUCCACUCAUGUCAAGUCUGUCAUACCAUUUCAAAUUGUUCACAGUGACCUUUGGGGUCCUGCACCAUGUACAUCCAUUGAUGGCUAUAAAUACUAUGUUACUCUCAUUGAUGAGUGCACUCGGUUUUGUUGGUUGUUUCCCUUAUCCAGUAAAUCUGAUUUCACUGAUGUUUUUGUUACCUUUUGUGCAUUUGUCUCCACUCAAUUCUCUACUUCUGUGAAAAUACUACAAACUGAUGGGGGGUGAAUAUAUUAGUAAUAAGCUCCACACUUUUCUGAAAUCCAAAGGUAUUGUACAUCAUAAAUCUUGUCCUUAUACACCUGAACAUAAUGGAUUAGCUGAGAGGAAACAUAGGCAUAUCAUUGAAACUACUGUCACUUUGUUACAACAUGCCACACUGCCUUCUCAAUUCUGGACCUUUGCUUGUCAAACAGCAAUUUACUUAAUCAAUAGGAUGCCAACUCCAGUUUUACAGAAUCAAUCUCCUUUUCAAGUUUUGUAUGGUCAAAAUCCUGUCAUUACUCACCUCCGUGUCUUUGGUUGUUCUUGCUAUCCUUUACUUAGACCCUACAACACUUCCAAACUUCAAGCUAAGACCACCAAGUGUGUUUUUCUGGGGUAUGCUUCCCAAUAUAAGGGUUAUAUUUGUUAUGAGGUGUCCAAAGCCAAGUUUUUUAUCUCCAGACAUGUUAUCUUUAAUGAGACUGAAUUUCCUUAUCUUAGUCUUCUUCAAUUGUCCAAACAAAAUAGUGUGUCCCAUGUCCCUUGUUCACCUUCAUCUUUUACACAUGUUCCUAACCAUCAGAAUGUUUUGGUGGUGCCUCUUCCUCUGGUUUCUUCCUUAACCUUUCCACCUGUCCCUCCAUCCCCUGACUCUAGUGUUGCUGUUCAUUCUCCACAUAUGGUUGCUUCACCUCCAUUUUCCUCCUUACCUUCUUCUUCAUCCAUUACUGCUCCAUCAAGUACUACUCCUUCUCUCCCUGUGGAUCAUGAGUUCAGCCCUGAUCGGUUACAAGUGGUGUUACCUAUUGCACCAUUGAAUAUGCAUCCUAUGCAGACCAGGAGUAAAAAUGGUAUAGUCAAACCCAAGGUGUUUUUCAGUUCUUUAGCGCCAUCUGGAGAUGUUGAUAUGUCUCUCAUUGAGCCAGUUUCUUAUAAGACCGCUAAGAAAUCCUCUGUGUGGUUGGCUGCUAUGAAGGAAGAGAUUGCUGCCCUGCACUCUCAAGGUACUUGGUCUCUUGUAUCUCUGCCCUCUCAGAAAAACUUAGUCGGCUGUAAAUGGAUCUUUAAAAUAAAGAAGAACUCAGAUGGUUCUAUUGCAAGACAUAAAGCUCGCUUAGUUGCAAAGGGCUUCAGUCAAGAGGAAGGAUUAGACUAUGGGGAGACAUUCAGUCCAGUGGUUAAGCCUACCACAGUAAGGCUUGUCCUGGCCUUAGCUGCUCAGUUUCAUUGGUCUUUACGGCAGCUUGAUGUCAAGAAUGCAUUUUUGCAUGGCAUACUGCAGGAGGAGGUUUACAUGGCACAACCUCCUGGUUUUGCAGACCCUGUGCAUCCUCAUUUUGUUUGCAAGUUACAUAAAUCUCAGUAUGGAUUGAAGCAAGCCCCCCGGGCCUGGAAUGAGAGAUUCACAGCUUUCCUUCCUUCUCUCGGGUUCAUCUCCACCUAUUCUGAUUCGUCUCUAUUUGUGAAGCAUGUUGGUUCUGAGAUAGUGAUUUUACUGCUUUACGUAGAUGACAUUAUCUUAACAGGGAAUGCUACAGCUGCUAUACAACAGGUCAUCCAGUCCCUUACUACUGAGUUUGACAUCAAGGAUUUGGGCACACUUCAUUAUUUUUUGGGCAUUCAAAUAUCCUGCACAGCAACCGGGAUGUUUUUAUCACAAACCAAGUACAUUCAAGACUUGUUACACAAGACUGAAAUGAGUGAUUGCAAACCGUGUGACACUUCAUGCUUACCUUAUAAUCGUUUACUGAAGGAUGAUGGAGUUCCAUUUUCAGAACCUGGGACAUACAGGAGUAUCGUUGGUGCCCUGCAGUACCUCACUUUCACUCGUCCUGACAUUGCAUUCUCAGUCCAUCAAGUAUCUCAAUUUCUGCAAACCCCUAUGGUGUCUCACUUCACUGCUGUCAAACGCAUUCUGCGUUAUUUGAAAGGCACCUUGUCUUCUGGCAUUACUUAUGCUGCUGGUGACGUUGGUUUAAAAGCUUUUAGUGAUGCCGACUGGGCUGGUGAUCCGAAUGACAGGCGCUCUACAACUGGGUUCGUUGUUUUCUUGGGCUCCAAUCCCAUCUCGUGGUCUUCUAAGAAACAACAAACAGUUUCUCGUUCGUCAACUGAAGCCGAAUAUCGAGCCAUGUCCUCCACUGCUGCUGAACUUGAUUGGAUUCAGCAACUUCUUACAUUCCUACACAUUCCUCUGUCUUGUGCUCCUGUGCUUUUCUGUGAUAACCUGUCCGCCAUUGCUCUUUCGUUCAAUCCCGUUCAACAUCAACGGACCAAGCAUAUUGAAAUUGAUGUUCAUUUUGUUCGUGAACGGAUUGCUCAAAAGAAGUUACUUGUGCAGUUUGUAUCUUCCGGAGAGCAGUUUGCCGAUAUCCUUACCAAAGGUCUUAGUGCUCCUCUCUUUCGGACUCAUUGUACCAAUCUCAUGCUUGGUUCUUCUCCCAUGCAUGAGUUUGAGGGGGGAUGUUAGAGAUAAUGUACACAUAGGAUGGUGACACUUGUAAACAGAUUAAGAGAGUUAGUUAUAGUUGUUAAGAAUAUGCAAAUGUAAGUAGGGUGUAGUAUAUAUACUCUUAUAGUGUAAUAGCUUGGUGAUUAAGAAAAGAAAUAGAAAUAUCUUUCUCUCUCUAUGAAUCUCUUUCUCUGACUUCUCUCUCUAAGAUUACUGUCUGUGAUUCUCUUCUUCUUAGUUUACAAACAAUACUCUUCUUGUUGAUAAUGAUAUUGUAGUUAACUUCUUUACAUCCACGUUUAAUCAAAUUUCGUAAUUAAAUAAGUCAAUUUCGUGGGUAAGUACCCUAAAAAGCUGUUGUGUCACUGGUACUAUUUUGAUUAGGGCAAAAUGUUCCACAUCCAUCACAUAAGUUGAAAAAGAGAAAUCACGAUUCAGAAACCAACUCACAGUACAAUAAUUUUUUUUUAUAGACAUUCUUUAGGGGCACGGUUAAUUUUGAUUCAUUUUACUGCCAACAAAAGUUAAAUUUGAAGAGAGAAAAGGGAAGAAAAAUUGACAAAACCUGGCCAAGUUGAUCAACAGAUUUCAGAAUUUGGCAUUCACCACUAUAAAUUUCAUGCAGUUGUUGGUAGAUUCGGUUAAUGCAAAUACAUAUCUAGGAAUAAGAAUUAGGGUUUCUUCCUACUAGCUAAGCAAUACCAAUAGGAAGACAAUCUUUUUUUGUCAGAUAUACUGCAUCAGUAGAGUCUUCUGGAAAAAUGAAAAAACGUGGUGGUGUUUUACAGGAGUGAAGGAGGGAGUGGUAUUGCACGUGGGUUAGGACCACCAGACAAAAUUGUCUCUAAAUUAUUUAUUAAAAAAAAAAAAAAAAAAAAAAACCCUUAAACUCUUAAAAAUUAUCAAUUUCAUUCCUUGCUUUGAAACUCUUAUUGUCACUCGAGUAAUAAUUUAAAGACUAAAUCAGCAGUUUACCUAGUUAUGUAUGAUACCCCUUUGGAUUCGUUCUUUAAUUUAAAUUUUUGAAAAAAAAAAUUUAGGCUUGUUUAAUAAUCAUUUAGUCUUUACCUCAUAAAAAAAAAAUCAUUUGGUUUUUUGUUUUUGGUUUUCAUUUGUUGUGUCAGUUAUAAAAAUUGAAAUACAUAGAUAAAAUGAUGGAUGAAAAAGAGUGGAUAUAGGGGAUGAUACAAAGAAAGACAAAAUAAAAUGUAAAUUAAAAAGAUAUAUAAAAUUGUUUUCAUUUUUUAAGAUUUUGUUUUUAUCCAUUCUUCUUCAUCUUUUCCCUCUUCCAUCACUUUUCGUGAUCUCUCCUUUUCAUUAUAUAAAACGCAAAAAGAGAAAAUCUAAAAUCCAAAAAUGAGAUAAUUAUCAAACAGGUCCUAAGAUUUUGAAUAAUUGAUUUGAGCAUCUGUAGUAUUUGCAGUGCCCAACCAUAGAUAACUCACUUUAGUGAAAGCAAUUGAAACAUCUUAAGCAGAAAUCGUACAUCAGUUACCAUUUUAGUAGUUCAGUCCUCCAUGAGCAAGGACUUUCAAAGCAAUCGAAUCAACCACCAAUCAUUUUCUCAAGUCAAGUAAUAUCCAAAAAUAAUAAUAAAAAAUAAAAAAUAUCAGUACAAUUUAUUAUAGUUUUGCAUACAUGGGAUGGGAUGUUUACUACUAGUAUAGUUUAAAAUAGAGCUUAUCAAGAUUUUAGACUAAUUUAUGUAAAAGUAUUCAAUUAUUUCCAUUACGUCUUCUUCUUAGACGUCUUCCAUAAAAAAAUUAUAGUGAUUAUAUAUCUUAAAUUGACAUCGACAAGUACACGAAGGUUUCUAUAUUAUUAUUAAGGGGAGGAUUUGAAACUAUUACAAUAAUUUAAGGGAUCAUAGGCAAUUUUGAACUCGAGAAGCAUGGGUGGAAAUCCAACACCCUUUCGCUAGGAUAUUGGACCACAUGCAAAGGUUUGUAUAUAUUCAAUUUGCAGACUUAUAUAGCUUGAAUGUUAACUAGCUAAUCAAUUUGUUAAGAGCGAUCAUACAACAAAGUUGUUCGAAGUCCAGAUUAGUACUUUGGAUUCUGCUCCCACUCCCACUCAAGGACAUGGGAUAGUUUGAUGAGUGGUUGCUACGCUCUUCUUUUUACCUUUACUUAAGAAAAAUUAAGAGACAUAACUAAGUAGAGAGUACAUAAAAUCAAAAGAGAGUGCGGAAAUCACUUUCUAGACUUUCUAGUACCGUUAGUAAACGAUGAAAAGAAAUCCAACAGUUGGGGUGCAGCGAAGUAGUGUUGUAUAACUGUUGGGUUCAUUGGUUGUCUUGCUUUUAACUGCAGACAAAAAAAAGAUGAUUGCUCCUUUCCUUGGUAUGUUUGUUUUUGAGUGAAACUUUGUGAUCUCAUGAUGGGAAUAUUGCCAUACGGUUCAAUCUCUUCCAGUUCCAAAGAUUCCAUAUGUGUACGUACGUAUGCAUGCAUGAUUGAUUCUUGAAAAAGGUUUUGAUAGCGCUGUUUAUGUUUAUUUUUUUAUUUAAUCAAAAUUAACAUGACUAAUCAAAUGAUGAUCAACGCAUCAUUAACAAAGAAAUGUAACGUGCCGUGCCCGAAGAAGGUUAAGGUGACAAGAAAGCCACCAUGCAAUCUUCAAAAUACAAUUCCUAAAUUACGUUUUCAUAACAAAUGAUGAUCAAUGUAAAAUGACUCGUUUGGAAUGUUAACAACAAAGCAAUGAGGACAAACCUAUCACUCUUUCAUAUGUUAUAUAAUGGGUUACGCUAUUCACAUACCCUAUUUUACUUUCCUCACCUCCUAUUAAUUUUCGACCGUCAGAUCGUAUGAAUUGAAAAAGUCAAAUGACAUAAAUUAAUUAGAGGUGUGUGGGAAGUAAAAAUUGGAACGUGAACAGAACCACCCUAUAUAAUAUAUCAUAAUUGAGAAUAAUCCCAUGAAUCAUAAUCAUGAACUAGCUAGUUAAACAUACUGUGAUCAUCUUCUGGGAGUUAAAAAGUUCUCUGUGUACUAUAUAAGGAAGCAAGAAGGGGAAGGAAGGAGAGAGAGAGAGAGAGAGAGAGAGAGGAGAGCGAGGGGAAGAGCUAGACUGCUUGCAUUACAAGCGAUCUUGAGGAGCUGAUAUCGAUAUGUGAAUAUGAGGGAACGAUGGAGAGGGGAGCUACCUUCGGUCCAAUUCAGAGGGCUGAGGAGUGGCUAGAGCUGUCAUCUCAUGCAUUUGGCUACUCCCUUAAUAUUAUUUUCCAACCCUAGUAGCCUGCUGCCUGCGCAGCUGUGCAACUCUAUUCAAUUAGCUGUUACAUGGGAGAUGAUAUACUGAAUAUUAAGGGUUCGGCCUGGUGCAUGGUGUGGGAGCAACUCCUUCCGCGCGCUUAGCCCGCCCAUUGGACUGAAGGGAGCUCUGGCCACCACCCGUUUCAUCACGUCGCGUAAACCGAGUCAAGUGCACGAUUUUCUUUUCUUUCUGUUGUCUGCUCUUAAGACUAUAACCAUUCUCAUCACUGUCAUAUUCUCGUCGCUAAUAAUUAAUCAUCGGAUGUCACUUAUACUAUCAUAAUUUUCAUUAAGGUUUGAUGAAUCUGCUUGACAGGAAAGAAGAAAAUCAAUUUGGAGACUUGAAGCUAGCGUGGAUGAUGUGGUUUUACUACAACAGAAAUCCGAACGGUGAUGCGAAAUCCAGGAAAACAAGAACGUGUGCUCCGGACGAGAUUGAACACUUUUCUGGUUUUCUGAUUUUCUUCUUCUGAUCACCGGAGCAUGUUAAACUACUAACACUCUGAAGUACUUAGGAUGGGCAAAUACCUAUUGGUUGCGGUUAUCCGUCCAUUUAAAUUUGACAGUUAUGGGUAUAACUGUUUACCUGUGAAAUUUAAAUAGGCGGUUAUGGUAUUACCGCGGUCAUAAAUGAGAACCUAUUUAACCGUUUAUUCUAAUAUAUGUAAAACUAAAAAAUAAAAAUAAAAAGUUUCUAGCUAAGUUUGGUAUCCCGAGACAUAUUUGGUUAUAAGGGGCCAUAUAAUAUAUAUAUGCCUCACUUGAGAGAAAAGUAUAGUUGAUAGAACAGGCCAAUGUUAACAUAUGUGAUUGAAUGUGCUAAAGCAUUAGAAUGUUCGACAGUUUUAUUUUGGAGUCUUUUGAAGCUUUGGCCAAUUCAAGAUAAUGAUUACCUUAAGAUUUUAGAAAUAUGUUAUUGUCAGCUGAUGCGUGUAUAUAUAUAUAUAUAUAUAUAUACAGAGAGCUUAAGGGGAGGGAUCCCCAUUUUUUCAAAAAAAAUGGGGACACGCUCCCCACCGUUAGAUUGACUUUAAUGAAAUUGUGUGGUUGAGAUUAAAACACAGGCCACAGAAUCUCAACCACAUGAUUUCAUUAAAGUCAAAUCCAACGGUAGGGAGCGUAUCCCCAUUUUUUUUUUAAAAUAGGGAUCCCUCCCCUUAAGCAAUUCCUAUAUAUAUAUAUAUAUAUAUUUAUUUAAUUGGCCUCGGUUUUCAAUAAAUAUUUGACCCAAAAAUUAGAAAUCGAUUAAAUGGCUUGGAUCGAUGAAAAUAUGUUUCUAAAUAAAAAUCUAAAUAUUUAUCAAAUUAGCUUAUUAGCAAACUGAUCCGUACUUACAUAUAUAUAUAUAUAUAUAUAUAUGUAUAUGUAUACAAGAAUAUUAAUUAACCUACAGCCAUGCAUGAUUCUUGUAAUAGAUUGAUUGUCAAAUAAUUGGGAGACAUCACAUAUAUUCAUAAAUAAUAUUGGUGUCAUACAAAAAUACAUGUUAAAUGUACUUAUAACGGUAUUUAAUUGUUAGAAAAAAGAAAAUUAUGACAAAUUUCUUUUUAAAUUUUCAAGUUUUUAAAAAAUAGGUAGACGGGUAAAAAAAAAAAGGGUAAAAAGGUAUGCGGUUAUGGUUAAAUGGAUAUGCUGUUAUGGAUAAAUAGAUAUACGGUUAUAGGUAUGGUUAACCGUUUAUAAAUAGUUAUGGGUAUACCCGUUUAUGUAAAUACCCAACGGGUAAACAAUUAUAUGGGUAAAAAUUUAAACGGUUAUGGGUAAAUAACCGUGGUUACCCACCCGCCAUAACUGUUGCCCAUCGCUAGAAGUACUUGGUAAGUGUCGAGUUACAGCGUUCGAGUUAGAGGAGCAACAAUUACCGGGAGGACCGCAAUAAAAACACAAAUUGUAAUGCUUUGGAGAAUUAGCAACUGUUUUUCCUUAGCACUUGAACAAUGCAAAAGAUUUAUGAUACAUCAUCCAUACAUGACCAAUGACAAAGAAACUUAUUCUUUUAUCUAGGCAGAGGCCUAGUUCAAAUCACCGUCAAUUUUUGGAAGCUAACAAGCAAGAUAAUCUAGUGAAAAGUCGAAGCCUGAAAUCUGGCCGGAAAUCUGUAACGACAAAGAAAAGAUAAGAAUGGUUUCACAAAGUCCGGAGAUGAUAACAGAAUAUCAACAAUGCAAUGAAAUCGUGAUGUAGGUGAUCCCCAACUUCCCCCCAUUUUUCUGCAUUUCACUGCAGCCCAAACUUACCCACCUGCGUGAAGAAAACAUAAUAAGUACACCAAUUAUAACUGCAGACCUCUUCACUUACAUACAACAUUGAACAUAUCACGACACGGAAAUUUUGGACUCCAUGUCAAGCAACAAAGUUCACAAUCCAUGUUAAAUCUGCAUGAAGAGUGAUGCUAGCAAAGCUCAGUAUUCAAGUCAUUCAACAGAUUCGACUUAAAUGUUCAAAACAAAAUGAAGGUUUCAGCAAGACCGCGCAAGCAACCUUCUUAGCUCCAUCACCCAACUCCAAACUCAAAAUCAAAUGAGUAGACUGAGUAGAUUGACAGACUUCAAGAUCAUACCAACAGGCCCGAAUACCAGAAUGCAUUUAUACACAAUAUUCUCAUGCUCUAUGCUUAGAUUGACAGACUUCAAGAUCAUACCAACAGGCCCGAAUACCAGAAUGCAUUUAUACACAAUAUUCUCAUGCUCUAUGCUUUCUCAAGUUGAACCAUUACCAAUUUGUUUACCAUAAUUCUAUUUCCGAAAGUUACUGUAGAUCUACCAAGUUAAAGAUGACUCAACUUGCUCAGACCUUUCAAUGAACUGUCCAAAAACUUAGAAGCUAGCAAAUCCAACACGACACAGAAAGCCGUGCAAAAUGGAUAAAAGACAUUAUAUGCGAAAAAUCAUAAUGGAAAAAAGCCCCACAACGCAAUAAAGGAAGUUGCAGGGGUAAAUCUUCCGAAGUUUGUAGAUUCAUGUCUUUGGUAUAUACAUGUUUAUUACCUGAAUCGAAGUAACCCUCGCCAGGUAGCAAAUAUACAUCAGAAUUGGAUUGAGCAUUCUAUCAAUUUUCAAAAACUCAAACUGAUAAGCAUUUGUUCCAGCUGACAGUCACGAUUCGACUCAAGCCUCAAACUAAGAAACUAAAGACCAUAGCUACACCUACACCUAUUAGGUUUCACAUUUCAGAAAUUGAGUUGUUUCCUAGUGUUUUUUGUCUGAAUAAAACUCCAACCUAAAGCCCUAAAUCAUAUGCCUCACCAGAAUCAAAAAACAAGAACCCGACUCUUAAUUCACAGCGAAAACGAGCAAAUGGAAUCGAAAAGACCCAAUCUUGAACAAAAUUUCACCCCAAAAACUGAACUUUCAAAUCCAAACAAUAAAAAAUUGCAAUCAGAUUAUCAAAUUGGGAGCUCAAAACACAAGAAACAGUACCUGAAACCGAUCACUCGGACUCCACCGGCUCCGGCUUCGGACCUGAAAUUCCCAUAAACAAAAACAAAAUGUCAAUUAAUUGAGAAAACUGACAAACGACGGGAAAGGAUAGGGUACGGUGGCGGACCAUGGAACUCGUAAGGACGGUGGUCCUUCCCCCAACCGAUGCCGCGAGUGGACUCGAGGUACUGGUGGACGAGGUGGCGGCACUUCUGGAGGUGGUUGACGCCUUCGAUGCGGUAGCACCAUCGGAGCUUCUCCCUGAUGAUCUUGGCCUUCUCGAUGUCGAUCCACUUCUCCCGCACCAAGUGCUCCCUCAUCUCAAGCAUCGCCACCGGGUCCUUGUACGGAUUCGCCGGAUCAAAGUCGUCCGGCGGCGACUCGUCGAAGUCCACCACUCCUUUCUUCCGCCCCAUUUUCCUCUCGCACUUCUAGAUUGCUCUCUCCCUCUCUCCCUCUCUCCCUCUGUGUUCUGGCUUUGAUUUUCGGAGCUCUGCAGCUGCUUCAGGUGGUUGAGCUUUUGGGUAUUUGGGCUUACGAUUGAUCAGGCUCUGGUUUUGGGCUCAUCUCCAUUGAUAAAGCACUAGGCCCAUUCAGGAUACUUUUGUAGUAAGAAAACGGGUUUGUCUUCAGUAGUCCGACAUUUUAUUAAUUAGAUUAGCAAGUUGACAAAAAAUAGUGUUUCAAUAAUUCAAUUAUGGCCAACUAUUUCUUGCUACUAAGUAGUUUGGACUAUUGAAGAAAAAUUGGUAAGAAAACAUGUUCACUUCGAAGUGUAUUUCCGUGUUAGUGAUUUGCCCACUCUAUUUUUAUCGCUAAGCAUCUCUUUUUAUUUGAACUUGAGUGCAAGUGAUUAGGUAUACUUCCUUAAUCAACUGGUCUAACAUGCAACUGCCUAAUUAAGACAUGCAACUGCCUAAUUAAGAGAAACAACGGAAAAAAAAAGAGUGCAAAAGAAGAAAUGAGUGUGACAAUCAGUAUUUGUUUCUCCUUCUAAUAGGCUUAAAAUUUGUGUGAUGGUUCAAGAGCAACUCAAAAUAUUAUUCAUAUCUUUCUUCGUCAUUUGAGAUACACAAAAUGUUAUGGCCAAAGCCGUUUAUCUAGCAUCCAAGUGCUUCCUAAAGCAACUCCUAGAUCGAGUACUUCACCAAAAAACACUUAUAUGACCCAAAAAAAAUUGUAGUAAAAAAUAAUUCUAGUUGUCAAAAAAACUAUUUUUAACUACAGUUGGGCACGGGCCGGGUUGGGCCUAAAUCUGGAGGAACCUGUUUUAAAAUGUAACGGGCCGCAUGGGCCGGUUAGAGGGAUUUUGAGUUUGAGAACCAGACCUAACCCCACCUGUUAGAAAUGGGCCGGUUUGGGGCAGGUCCAUGAGUCCAAUUACUUUAUUUUUAUUUAUUUAUUUUUUCCGGUUUUGGGCAUACUACCAGUGUCUUUUUUCUUUCUCCUCUUCACAUCAUCUCCAUUCUCUCCUCUUCCCCUCUUCCAAAUAAAAAACUGAAGCAAUCACCAUUUCUCGAUAAUUGCAUCACCUGGGCCUUUACCAUCGUCGUUGUCUUCAACAUUAAUUGUCUCUCUGUCUGCAACUUCUGUCUUCUCUCUAUUUGCAAUUUUAAUCAGCUUCAACGUCAUCGUUUCACGAUUCGAUGACAGGUAUCCACCUUUUCCCAAUCUUUGACUCCUUCGCACUUUCUUGUAUUUAGUUCAUCAGAUCUAAUGGUUUCUCAACUUGCAGGUGUUGAGAGGCAGCGGAUCCAAGAUAUUGUCAACAUCUUGGACUUGGGACUUGGGAUAGAAGGAGAAGGAGUCGAAGAGGCUUUCAAGUUGGGAACUAAAAUGGCUUAUUAAAGAAGGUUAGGAAGACGGGGUUUGUGGACUAGAGGUCGUUUUGGUGAAUUGAUGAUGGUUUGAGUUAAGUGAUGUCGUCGAGGAGAGGAGUGGGAAAAGAUUAGCCGAGUGGGAGGUGGGAGAGGAAGGAGAGACUAGGUCACUUAGAGAAACAAGUCCAAUCCAACGAGUGCGAUUGGAUUGAAGAUUGUUGAUCAUUCCAUUUUAGAAACGGGUUGGUUCGAGGCCCCGUGAUUUUAAAGAUUUAGACCCGGCUUCGCCAUGUAAAUACCACCACCCCGCCCCGCCCCGCCCCACCUCGCCCCAUUUCUUCUAUAAAAAAAUAAGACCCGCCCCAUACCCGCGUAUACCAGUCCUGACCCGUAGGUCCUUGACCUGUUUGCCCGCCCCUACUUUUAACCCUUCCAAACGCAAUACCAAACAGAUCCUUAACUCACAGGCCUACUAAUUUCAUGGGCCAGGGAUGGAUUUGGGCCAUGGAAUUGAAAAUUCAAGACCAAUUUCAACCUGACAUCGACGACCACCAAUAGGUAGCACAGAAGACGGAGGGGUGGAAGACAGGUGGCAGAAACCCAUCUGAUGGAAUUAGAGACGUAGAGCUGAGAGAGUUGUGCUCCUAAUUUCGCGCACUAGUUCUUACCUCUCAUGGAAGAUCAACGGUGCACGGAAACUACGAGGAAACCAAAAUACACCAAACAAUAAACAUCUGAACAAGACAUGAUUAAAAGUAAAAAUAAUUAAAGUAAAUGAUAAAAAAAAAAAAAAAUUGGUCUAACCUUAAUCAACGCCGCAUUAGCUUGUCGUCUCUUUGAGUUUUCUCAGGUGGGACUCUCUGUCUUUUCUUUAAUUCACAUUUUCCUGGAUUUCCUUCGCUGCAUUUUGAUCAUGAUGAUCAACAUUUGUUCAUGUGUGUAUGAAUAGUUACGGCCCGUUUGAUGACCAUUUUGUUUUUAGGUUUCGUAUGAAUAGCUCAAGGCAUGCAGCGUGCUUGGUAACCUUUUCGUUUUUAGAUUCAUAUGUAUAGCUAAAAUGGUUUGUUUGAUAACCAUUUUGAUUUUCGUAACCAAUUGUUGAAUGAUUAUGGGAUUCUAAGUCAAGUUAUAUGCUUCUGGGUUGUUCCAUUUUCCGCUCUCUUUACAUGCUUACAUACGUUCUCUUGUAGCUAGUGUGAAGCUCGGGCAAAUUGUCUCUCACAUUUUGUUUUUGCUUUUUUUUUAUUUUUAUUUUUUAUAUUUUUUAUAUCCGAUUUUCGAAGUUCUAACCAGAUGUUCAUAAGUUUUUCUUUUCUUUUGUGUGUGUGUAUAUGAUUGCUGGUGCAACCCCAGCUUAAUCUUCAUCCCCUUUCGUUUGGAACUCGAUAGCAUUUCUCCUACGUGUUUGUUUCUUCGAGAGAUUGUUUGUUCACUUUACGCAGUUCAUUGUUAGUACCCUUACAUCAUUAACGCGUUUCUAACUCGCAGGGUUACUCUUUUUCAACAGAUGAUUAAUGUUUUUUAGCAUGAGUUUAUAGUUAAGCUCCAAAGCUAGACGCCACUCCAAGUAGCUGAUCAUGGAUUCCACAUCAAAUUACAGCAGAAAAGAAAAUGUAGGAGCCAGCAGCCCAAGUGUUCCUGCUACAGGGAAUAGUUUCGAACAAGUUGUAAAUCGUAAUGGUGAGACUGAAGGUGAGGAAAUCUAGCCAUCUCCAUUUGUUCCUGAUAUACUCUCCAAUGCGAGUCAAUGAUCUUAAAUUUUUCCCCGUUUUGGAAUUUUAUUUUGCAGGGAAGCGGAGAGCGUACUUAGUAGAGUGGUUAAAUAGUUUAGUUCCUAAUCUAGGUUUACCAACAAAUGCUUCAUACGAGGACUUGCGAUCGUGCUUGAUCGAUGGUACCGUUUUAUGUCUGAUGUUGAAUAGGCUUAGACCUGGUCUUGUUGAUAAGGUUAGUUGAUAACUUGAUAGGCUUUCCGCGGCCCUUUUUUACUUGAAGAGUUAUUCGACAAGUUGGUGAUCGAAUGUCUCGUUUUGUAACUUCAACGUUCAUAGAAUUCGAUGUCACCCUCAGAAAAUGUUGCAAGGUUUCUGGCAGCUAUGGAUGCAUUAGGGCUGCCGAAGUUUGAUAUGUCCGACCUAGAGAAGGUAUCUGUCGAUGUAAUUUGUAUGCAUACAGCUCCCCUAUCAAAUUAAACAAUUUCUAUACGUUCGCUGACAUUCAAAUAUUAUCCAGGGGUCUAUGAAGACUGUCACAAACUGUCUUUUAACACUUAAAGCAAAACUUAUGCCAAAUGUUAUGGGAGAUGGUAUUACUAUAACUAGUCCGACGACUAAAUCUGGCAGCCAACCUUCCCGCUUCCAGCUUUCUCAAUUAUCUGUAGAUGAGAGGCGGAAGGUCCUGUCUGAGUCAAAAUUUCAGCGCGCAUUGCAUAGUCCUGUUAUGGCAGGUCUGGCCAUUGUGUUGUACAUAUCAAACUUUAUUUUUGACAAUACACUUGUGUUUGUUUAGUUGAUUAACUUUUACAUGAUGUUUUCGUCAUUCAAACAGUGGGUUUGACGCAAAUUUACCUUCAGCAGAGACAUCGCCUUCACGAAUGCAUCAUGUUGGGCAUAAGUUCCAUGAGGUGUUGCAGUUGAAGCAAGGAAGCUACGCGGAUCUUCCUGCUGCAAAAAUUUCAGAAAUGAUGAAACCGAACAGUUUAGAUGUCAGUCAUCAAUGGACCCUGAAACUGAAUCAGGUUUUCCUUUUGUGAUCUCUUCAGUUUAAUGUAUUUUUAAUGCACUUCAGCAUCUCUUGCUGCAGAACGCUCCAACGCAGUCACUUUUGAGUGUCGUAAAUGGAAUCCUCGAUGAAGGUGUUGAAAGAAAGAAUGGUGAAAUACCUCAUGUAUGGAAAUCCGAAAGCAAAUGAUUGUUAAAAAAAUAAGUUCAUCACGUACAAUAUUCAAGAAAUAUGGAGUUUGAAAAUCUGCUCUUACACAUUGCGUUUGUGGCACAGCGUGUGUCUUGCCUUCUGCGAAGAGUUGUCCAGGAGAUUGAGCGGCGAAUAUCAACUCAGGCGGAGCAUUUAAGAACUGUAAUAUGCUUUUAUGAGUACUUACCACCGAUAGCCUUAUUAAGAAGUGCUUUGCGUUAAUUUUUUUUUAUGGUUUCGUGCAGCAAAACAACCUUUUUAAGGCUCGUGAAGAGAAAUACCAGUCAAGAAUCAGAGUACUUGAAACACUUGCAUCCGGAACCAGUGAGGAAAGUGAGGUAUGAAACAUUUUUCGGAAGAUUAGAUCAGGAGUUGACAGCUUCUCGUAAACAUGUUUCAAUGUGGUACCGAUGUCUUAUUUUCAAAGUGUGAAUUUUCUGGUACAGCUUAUGAUGAACCAUCUUCAGCAAAUAAAGGUAUAUUUUGCAGACAAUAAAAAGCAUAUUGCUGGUGUUUAGGUGUUUAAGCAGUGAAAGAAUACGUAUAAUUUUACUUGCAAACUGCGGUUACGAGGAUUUGCUCAUUAUAUAAGUUUAUGAAUAUGAUUAAGUGGGAAUGUUUACAAUUGGCAGAGUGAGAGAACCCGAAUGGAAGCAAAGAAGAAAACCGAUGGCGAGGAUGUGAAUGUGAUCAGAUUGAUGAAAGAGAGGGAUCAAGGCAACCUUGAAAUUUCAGGAUUGAAGCAAGAGUUGGAUAUAGCAAAAAAGACAUAUGACCUGCGUUGCUUGCAAAUGGAAAUGGAAGAGAAGGGUGCUAGAACGGAGCUUGAAGAGAGGAUAAAAGAACUCGAACGUCUCUUGGCAGAGUCAAGGAGUAAGGUGAAAGAGCUCCAGGCAAAUUCUGAGUCAAAACAUCAGUCUAAUAGAGCAGAACUUGAAGAGAGAGUAAAAGAACUUGAACGUUCUUUGGAAGAAUCAAGGAAUAAAGUGAAAGAACUCGAGGCAAGUUCCGAGUCCAAAUAUCAAUUUUCUAAAGUAGAGCUUGAAGGGAGAAUAAAAGAACUUGAACGCCUCUUGGCAGAUUCAAGGAAUGAGGCGAAGCAGCUUGCAACGAAUUCAGAGUCAAAAUAUAAAAGUUGGAGCAAGAAACUGCGUGAUUACGAGAACUCUAUGGACCUUCAACUUGGUUCACUAAAGGUAUCUUUAGAUCAAAUUGUAUUUUCAGCUUUAAUGUAUAUGAUGAAUAGUACGCAUUUCAAAUCAAUUUAUGAAAUAUUCAGGAAUUAAGAUUAUCUUCGGAGUUCAUUAAGCAAGAAGUUUUGACGGCAGAACACAGUUACGCGGUGGACUUCAAUCACUUAGGUAGGGUUGUCUAUUGGAAGCAUUCGUCUGUUUCGUGCAGUUUGUGCUAGAAGAGUUUCAUGCUUUAUAACUUUGUUUUCCAGGAGUGAAACUUCAAGCAUUAGCAGACGCGUCUGAGAACUAUCAUGCACUUCUCGCUGAAAACAGGAAGUUAUUUAACGAAAUUCAGGAUUUAAGAGGUGCUACAAAAUAAAUUAGCGUUACUGUGGUUACAUCUUACGGAAAAUAUUAGAGUUCACUUCUUAACUUUCUUGCACAGGAAACAUCAGAGUUUACUGUCGAAUAAGACCAUUUCUUCCUGGAGAAAAAGAAAAGAAGACGUUGGUAGAACGUAUUGGUGAAAAUGGGGAACUGGUAGUUGCAGACCGCUCCAAACCAGGGAAGGAGGGUCAUCGAUUGUUCAAGUUUAACGAGGUCUAUGGUUCAGAUGCAAGUCAAGGUUCUCUAUUUUGUGUCUGUAAUGUUGGAUACAUAUUUUUCGAUUCAUCUGUUCGUUCUCCUCGAAAAUGAUUCUUCUUGAAUUGAACAUGAUUGUACAGUGACAUACAUUACUAUGCUGAACUUUGAGCAAUUUAUUUAACUGUGGCAGGCGAAGUAUACGCUGACACACAACCAUUGAUACGAUCUGUGCUUGAUGGAUAUAAUGUAUGUAUUUUUGCUUACGGUCAAACAGGAUCCGGGAAAACAUACACGAUGGUAUGGAACAUAUUUAUAUCCUAAUUUUCAGCACAGAACGAUAAUUUGAAAAAUGCUGAUUUGUUGAUGUUUUAUGUCUGUUGUUUCCUCUCAGACUGGUCCUAAUGGAUCAACUAAAGAGAACUGGGGAAUCAACUACCGUGCCUUGAAUGACCUUUUCGACAUCUCUCAACGUAGAAAAAGCUCCAUUACAUAUGAAAUUCGAGUCCAAAUGGUUGAAAUAUACAACGAACAAGUGCACGAUUUGCUAUCCAGCGAUGGUGCUCAGAAGAAAUAUCCUUGUCGUUAUGAAAUGCGCUUCCUAUUGUGUUGUCUGAGUUAGUUUUGGUAACAGUCUUUUGUUUGCCUUGACUUGCACACACUUGGGAUUAUGACUCACUCUCAACCCAACGGGCUAGCUGUGCCAGAUGCUAGCAUGCACCCCGUGGAAGCAACCUCAGAUGUAAUAAGAUUGAUGGGAAUCGGGUUUAAGAACCGAGCUGUUGGUGCCACUGCGUUAAACGAAAGAAGUAGUCGCUCUCAUAGGUUUGUACAUUUCAUCUUCGUAAAACUUCAUCCCGUAUAUAUCUACAUGUUAUACAUUUUCUGGUGUGUUUGAUUUACGCAUGAAUGUCUAUGUACAGUGUUGUUACAGUUCAUGUACGUGGGAAGGAUUUGAAGACUGGUUCCGCAUUGAUUGGUAACCUUCAUCUUGUAGAUCUCGCGGGAAGUGAAAGAGUGGACCGUUCGGAGGUAACAGGAGACAGGCUCAAGGAAGCACAACAUAUAAACAAAUCAUUGUCUUCGCUCGGAGAUGUCAUAUUUGCUCUCGCACAAAAGAGCCCUCAUGUACCUUACAGAAACAGCAAGCUCACUCAAGUCCUUCAAAGCUCUCUCGGUACCUCUUCGCUAGUUAGUUUCGUUGUUGUGCGAAGUUUUGUCAGAUAUGUAGCAAUGCUAGAAUUUUUACGGUGUUUUCCAACAGGUGGGCAAGCGAAAACGCUAAUGUUUGUGCAGCUAAAUCCCGAUGCGAGUUCAUUUUCCGAAAGUUUAAGUACUCUAAAGUUUGCUGAGAGGGUUGCCGGAGUUGAGUUGGGAGCUGCGAAAAGCAACAAAGAGGGCCGGGAUGUAAGGGAAUUAAUGGAACAGGUUCUCAUUAUAUAUAACAUAUACAUAUGCUUGGGAAAAAUAUGUACAAAUAAUGUUCUACAAACAAAAUGUUGUUUCUAAAUUUCUCUUGCCUCUGCAGGUAGCGUCCCUCAAAGACACGAUUGCUAAGAAGGACGGCGAGAUUGAGCGAUUGCAAUUACUUGAUGGCCACAGUGAGAAGCGUGGGACGAGCUCAUUUAGGUAUGAAUCUUCGCAGCCAAGCAGAGUUUCUAGAGGUGGGAAGUGAAACCAAACACCGUUAAGUGGCGGGAUGAAGGCUUAGGGCUUAAGGCAGCUUCUGAUCCUGAAAACUGUGUUCUUGUACAGUAUCAUAAGCUCCAAAAGUCCAUGCAGGACAUUAAACAACAAAAUGAUUUUCUUCGGCAAUCAUCAAAGGUUGCCGGAAGUGAUGACAUAGGUCAGAAUAAACAUGCAGAUCAUGCUGAGUACUUGGCAUCUGGAGAUGCAGAUUCUGAGGGGAAAUUAAGUGACUUAUCUGACGGUGGUCUUUCUACUGGAACAGAAACUGAUGGCUCUGCAUGAAUUAUCCCGAAAGCACGAAAUCCGUUCCCUUGUAAAGGUGGGCAUUACUUACAUUGAAUCUAAUGCGUUAUCCAGACACACCAACAAGGCCUAUAUGUAACGGCAUUGGUGAUACCUACCAAUGACUCAUAUUCUGCAGGCCUAAAAGGAUUAGUAGGAUUCCGCGACCCUCGCUAAAACCAGGAACAACUUCUUCACCUUCGGCAUCAGGAUCAACGAGCGCUGUGAAGGUGCCAUCAGGUACGUGAAAAUAGAGCUCUCUGCACCAAUUAUUACUUCAGUUUGCCUUCUACUUAUCAGCAGUAUUACGUCUCUCAACAAUUCACAAUCACUUUGUGCAGGUAUGAGAAAAAGUAGCAGUUCUUCGUCACUGAAGCCGGCUGCAAACAGUUGGAAAUAAUUAGAACUCAGUCACUACAAGAAUUUCUCCACUAAUUUUUUUGAUAUACAUGUACAGAGUUUUCUUAGUUGCAAUUUUCUGAAAAUUUUAACAGCUCCUACCCCUAGCUUUCUAAUUACUCAAACCCUUUGUUGUGUGAGCUCUACUGCAAUUAUGCAAUGUAUACAAUUAAACCAACGAGCCUUGUGUAUAAUCUUUAUCCGAAACACAAAUCUUAUCAUUAAAUUACAGUCAAAUUAAUCUUUGAAGCGCAACUCAUAUCAUUAAAUUACGGUCAUAUUAAUCUUUAUCCAAAGCACAAAUCUUCAUCUGAAGCAUCACAUUUAAGCAUUUCAAGACCCGUUAUAUUGUUUCACUUUACAGCCAUGUAAUAAUAUAACUGUAAAGCGAAAACACCAAUUGAUAUAGUAACUAUUUUCCACACAGUAUAUUUUUCCGUAUUUUACUAGGAUUAGAAUACAUGUUUAAAGCCAAUGCUCUCUUUGAUAAUUUUACAUUAUAACCACAUACCUUCAUCACUGCAAAAUUUGUAUCGUUCCACUGUGACUCCAUCUACUGUUGCUUGUGCUAGCGCCACAUUUUCAUAGUUGUUUAUAGAUUCCUUAAUUGCACUUUCCAGCAAAGUAACUUCUCCCACAGUUAUCUCACCCCAAGGCAAGCCCAGUCUCGAGAGAUUUUUCAAUAUGAUUGGUCGGGUUGAUACACUACAUGUCACUAUACAAAUGAUGAGAUAUGUGUGCUAAAAUGUUAUAUUCCACCGUUUCUAUUAAAACAUGUGGUGUACCAUUUGUAUUUCCGUCACAAUGAAAAAUUUCUUGCCCAGCCUCAUCACUAAUAUUAGAACUUGUUCCAAUUGCAAAUCCCAAGUUAGAGAUCGUAUCCAAGGCUGAGAUCGAAUACAUUCAACCUCCGGGCUUAGAAUUGCUAGACCUAUCUAAUUCCUUGAAGUUGACAUAUCUGCCAUGGUUUCAAGUAUCAAGUCUCCACCUGGUAAUUGAUCACAAAGAUUGAACAUUAGAAGACCCUCGUACCGUAAAUCAGUUUGAGAGCUAAUUUCUUGAAUUGCUUGUAGUCUCAGAAUUCAAAGUCAUUGGCUUUGAAAGUGCUUCAUCCUUUUUUAUCCCCUUGAUCUGGUAUUUAUUUAUAAAUCGAUGAACGUAUAAGAUCUCCCAUAUGAUUGCUAGCCAAUAAUCACGAGGAUUUUUGUCGGUAACCUCAGACCAAUCAAAAUCAAUAUCAAUCGACCCCUUCAGCUCAGGAAACUCUAUUAUACCUGAUUCUGAUCUAAAGAAAAAACACUACUGAAAGUUGAUAAUCAAGUUAUAAAAAGAAGACUUUCUUUAAUAGCUACAUGGCAGAACAAGUGUAGAGACUACAACACUAAUAAGUAAGAAAAAAGCACAAAACAUGUCUGAUUAAAAAGAAGAGUUUUAACAAAACACUCUCGGUACUGUUCACUUUUAAUGAAAAACCAUAUUUUUACCUUUAACUGGCACUAUUCACUAUACCUUUAAAAAAAGAUUUUCGUUAAAAGAGAAUUUUUUUUGGACUUUUCGUUAGUUUUCCUUAAAAAGAAUGUAACAUAAGAUUAGAGAUUGUAUAAUUUAUAUAGAGUACUGAUAGGAAUAUCUAAAAAUAUACAAUAUAAGAAUAAGCUUCUAAGGAAAAAGAUGAAACAAUACCUACUUUAGUACAUAGGCUGCUCUCUUCGACCGAAGGAACGCUAUAUAGGCUGCUCACUUUGGAAUUUUUGUUCAUCAAAACCUCAAUACCCCCAUCACUUUAGUACAUUCAAUCAGAAUGGCAUUUUAUAUUAGUAAAUGUAUACUCUUUCAAUAUAUUAUGAAUUCACAUAUCAUAAGUUCACAAUGAAAUUCAAAAACUACAACAAUCAGAAUCACUUGCUAAUCGAAAUCCCAACAAGCAAAUUUUAGUCAAUAAAGUUCACCCCUUCAGUCUAUUAAGAUUUCAACAAUCAUAAGUUCAAAGCAAAAUCCAGAAAUGUUAGAUCCCAUAUCGUCCAGGGAGUGGAUCCUCUAUGCCUUAUAUGUACAUGCUCAUCUCCAUAUACCACGAGAUCUUUUGGGAGCUCACUGCGUCGGAACUCCAAAGUUAAGCGAGAAAGGGGCCAGAGCAUUUCCAAGAUGGGUGACCCACUAGGAAGUUCUACUCGCGUGAGUUCCCAUUAACAAAACCUUGAGGGUGUGGUUGGGGCCUAAAGCGGACAAUAUCGUGCUACGGCAGAGGGGGCCCGGGCCGGGAUGUGACAAGAAACUUAAACAAAUUAACACACCAGCAAGUUCACAAAACCACCCAAUAAAAAAAUUACAAUUUGAAAACCCAACCACCAAAUUGAGGGUUUAGGGAUACUUAUUGUUUCGUAUAUAUUGUAAAAAGGUUGCUUUGUUAGCAAACAGUGACUCUGUGGCCCAAUGGAUAAGGCGCUGGUCUACGAAACCAGAGAUUCUGGGUUCGAUCCCCAGCAGAGUCGUGUUGUUGUUUUUGAACUUUUUUUUUCAUGAAUAAUGAAAUCAUUAUAAUCAUUAAAUGUUCUAGAACAAGUUUUGCUCUGUACCCCAAUGGUUAAGGCACUGGUAUGCGAAACCGGGCUCCGGUUCGAUUCACAGUUGGCAGAGUCGAUAUGAUUUUUUAAAAUUUUUCCUAUUUAAAUGAUUUUUAAAAAGAUUGCAUCAUAUAUCCUGUUUCAGUCAUUAGGCCAUCUCCAACCGAUGGCUGGCCAGAGGGCUCGUUUUAGCCCUCUGGCCCUCCAAGAUUCUCCAAGAUAUUAAUAUUUUAAUGAACAGUACAGGGUCAUAUUUGCCUCCGUUUUUUUCAUGAAUAAUGAAAUCAUUAUAAUCAUUAAAUGUUCUAGAACAAGUUUUGCUCUGUACCCCAAUGGUUAAGGCACUGGUAUGCGAAACCGGGCUCCGGUUCGAUUCACAGUUGGCAGAGUCGAUAUGAUUUUUUAAAAUUUUUCCUAUUUAAAUGAUUUUUAAAAAGAUUGCAUCAUAUAUCCUGUUUCAGUCAUUAGGCCAUCUCCAACCGAUGGCUGGUCAGAGGGCUCGUUUUAGCCCUCUGGCCCUCCAAGAUUCUCCAAGAUAUUAAUAUUUUAAUGAACAGUACAGGGUCAUAUUUGCCUCCGUCUCCAACCGAGGGCCAGAGGGCCAGAGGGCUCGUUUUAGCCCUGUCACAAAAAAUCGUCUCCAAUCGAGGGCCAAAGGGCCAUAGGGCCAAACAUAAUUUAUUAUUUAAAAACUACAAUUUAAAUUCAAAUCUAACGGCUAGGUGACGUCAACAUGAUGUCAGCUAGUUGACGUCAGCUAGCCGUUGGUAGCUGACAUCAUGCUGACGUCAGCUAGCCGUUGGAUUUGAAUUUUUUUUGCUAUAAAUAGGGUGGAUAUUGGGCUAUAAUUCACACAAAUACGUUCUCGUGCCACAAAUACGUACCUACAACAGGAUCUUGUUGCACAUCUUUGGGCCAAAAGAAGCAUGGAGUAGGCUUUUAAGUUUUAUGUUGUUAAAUGUUUUUAAAAAUGUUGUUUAAGUUUCAUGUUGUUAAAUGUUUUUUUAUGUUGUAUAAUUUGUAUGUUGGUUAAUGUUAUUUAAUGUUAUUUCAUAUUGUUUAAUGUUGUUUCAUGUUACUUAAUUUAAUUUAAUGUUUUAUAAAUGGCCUAGGAAAAAAAUAGAAUUGAAAAAAAUUAUGAAACAAAUUUUGUGAAAUAGAAGUUAUAGGAAAUAAAAUAUGAAUCAAAUUUUGUAAAAUAGAAGUUAUAGGAAAAAAAUAGAAUUUAAAAAAAAAUUGAAACAAAUUUUGUAAAAUAGAAUUGAAAAAAAAUAUGAAACAAAAUUUGAUUAAUAUGAAAAGGAAAAAAAAAGGGAAAAAAAAAAGUUUAAAAAAAAAAAAAAAGGCCUAAUAAUACAACGGCUACUAGCCGUUGUAUUAAAAAACAUUCAAACUAUUAGUGUCGGUUAUAACCGACACUAAUAGUAGAACUAUUAAAAAAUAAAUAAAACAUGUUUAAUGCUGUCGGUUUUAACCGACAGCAAUAGAAAACAUUAAAAAAAAAAUAAGCCAGCCCGGGGCUGGCUGGCUGGCCGAAAGCAGCCAGCCCUCCAGCCCUCCAGCCCUCUCCGAUCCCGUGGGGCCCUCCCAGAUUCCAGAGCCCUCUGGCCUAGCCCUCGGUUGGAGACGGUUUUAGGGCUAUUUUCGGCCCUCUGGCCCUCUGGACCCUUCGGUUGGAGAUGGCCUUAUGUCAUGUAAGUCUCUCCAGACCAUACAACUGCUCGGCGAGCACAUGCAAAUGGUUCAAAGUUAACACAUUAGAAAAACUAUGAAAUAGAUAAACUGAAUAAGUGAAAUACAUAUAAGUUUAAAGACAAAUAUUGUAAUGUUGGUUUUUUUUUUCAUUUGAAUAAAAAAGCUUGCUUUCAUGUCUUAAUUUCAAAGGUUGAAUCUUUUCUUCCUGAAACAUAAAUGUCAGUUUAGCCAAAAUGGUCUCUGAGAUUGACAUAACUCCUUAAUUUGUCCUUGAGGUUUGAAAUCGAUAGAACUGGUCCUUGAUGUUUGAAAUCGAUAGAACUGGUCCCUGAGUUUGUCCAUUAUCCAUCAUUUUCAUCCUUCUAUGCAAAAUAUCUGUUAAAUAAGAAUUGUUAGGGCCCAAAGAUGUCACAUGUAAACCCAAUCAAGUAGGCCCGAUUGUCGUAAAACCCCGAGUCAAGUCUAAACACAUGUCAAGGUAUGAAAUCGAGAAGGGAAAACAUUCACAAUCAUGCCAUGCCAUUAAUAUAUGAUAAACGAACCAGACAUUUAUAUAAUCACGCAACGCCAUGCAAAUCCCUACACAUUCAUCAUGCCAUGUUAUAUUUCGCUAAUUACCAUUCACGCUAAAAUAUGCCCAAUCCAUAUGUCUGGGGCUUGCCAAGUGAAUCAUGGUGUGGAUGUUUACGGAAGUUUGUCGGGCAUACACAAAGUCAAGAUUAUGGAAGACUUUGGGCUGCUUAGGAGCCCAAAGAUCCAAACCCACAAUCCCACAAUCCUUGAAGUCUACGUAAGUGAGUUUGAGAGAGAACAAACCUAAUUCCCUUUUUUCCCUAGCUAGACAACUAAGCCAGUUAGAAAAGAGUCAGACUCAAGGCCUUAAAAAUCAUGUGAAAGCCCAAUAGAGCCUGCAUUUAAUGAAAAGAGAGGCAGAUUUUCCCUUCCUAGUUCACGUAGAAGAACAAUGAAAGAAAGUCAUGAAACGUGUUACUAGAAUUAAUGCACGUGGAAGUUGACCUAGGAAAUAAGCGCUCUGGAAAGAGAGCCCGAUGUAGUCUUCACAAAAGCAUUGGUGUUCAUCUGUCUUAAACCAAAUGGGAAGGUCAGAGUUAUGCUGGGAGAAAUGGGAGGGAAGACUUAGUUAUAACUAGAGCUUUUCUAGGAAGCCUCAAAAGGGAACCAUUCACCUACAAAAGAGAGGUCAGAGGUUUUGAAUAGAGGAAGACAUAAUAUUAGAGAGAGGGAGAUUCAAGGUUAUACUGCACCAAGCAAGGGAAAUAGCUCUCUAAGUGCAAAUAGUCUUGAACAUCUAAGAGGAUCACCUUCAUGCAACCUUAGUAGUUUCUUUAAGCUUCCUUCAAUGGGAGCCUUCUUAGAACCCUAGGAAACCCAAAUCACCCAACUAAACACAUCAUGCAAUCAUGCAAAGUUCUUUCGCAUGCUAAAUUGGUAAACUUCUAGAUUCACCUCACUCAUGCAAGUUAUUAUUUGCCUAAUCAUGUUAUCUUUGAGUCAUUAAUCCAACCGGGAUAUUUCCUAAGACAUGCUAAUUCUUUCGAAAUAUUUUGGGAAUUGGUACCAAAACGAACCAGGGGAAUAAAAAGGGUACUUUCAAGCCCAAGUCUAGCUCGGCUUAAAAAUCCCUUAACAAUGACAAAAGAUAAAAAUACCCUCAAUUUAAUAAACAAUGUGCCAAAGUAAUUUGACAAAAAUCGAGAGUAUUUUUGUCAUUUAUAGCUUAUUAAUGAAGGUCAUUUCCGAAAUGACCAAAAUGAUUGACGGUGGACAAACUCAGAGACCAAUUCUAUCGAUUUUAAAUAUCAUGGACCAAAGUGAGGAGUUAGACCAAUCUCAAUGAUUAUUUUUGGCUAAAAAGCCAUGUACUGCAGCCCAGUAAAUGCAUGUUCAAGUUGGGAAGCAUCGAACGAAAUCAAUCGUGUUUAAUUGCAAGAAAUUGGUGGUUCAAAAUUCAAUCUUUUAAGAGGUUUUAAGAUAUUUUUACAUGUCUUCAUGAAUUUACAAUUUUUUUCUUUUAUCUGAUAAAUUGUUAUGUCAUGGUUUGUGCAGUGUAGUUUAUGACUUGGGUUAUGAAACACCAAUAAUGUUACAAAAAUUACACCUUAAGAGACCAAUAAUCCAACUUAGAUAUAAAAUUUAAAACCAAUAAUAUAAUUAGUCUCCCAACUUAAUUAUAUAUACAAAAUGUAUCAUUGAAAUCCAAAACGAAAAAGAAAUGAAACAAAGUUUAAUCAGGGAACAUGACAAUGUGUUGUGUCCCCUCAUUGUGUAUUUUUAAUCAGAUCCCUAAGCUGUUGAAGAAGUUGAUCGGUUGAGCAAUGUUCUUCUUUUGCUUAAAACAGUACAAAUACACUCCAAAUCGAAAAAUAGUGUACUUGUGGUGCCAAAAAAGCAUAUGAUCUUUUGAGAACUCGUUCUUAAUAUCUUAGCAGCGUAUUAUUGGUGUUUAUUUGUUUAAGUUCAAUAGCGUGUCAAAUGCAUGUUCAUUUUGUCCCAUGAAUGCAGGCAAGGGACAUCAGGAACAUUACUUGCAUUACAAGUUCCGCUACUUAGGUUGGUGCAAAAGGCACGGAUCUCCUUCCCAGCAAUUGCCGAUGUGAUUUUAAUCUGGUGCAAAUUAAUGUUAGCACAACCUAGAUUCUCCGAGCAAUCAAACUUGAUCGCUUCUUCGGUUGCAGAAGUUCCAUGAAAACCAUUGUAUGUCACAUCGCUCAUUCACUGUCGAAGUCAGCAAAUUUUUUCAAAAAUGAUGACUUCGUUAAUACAACUAAUUUGUUUGAGUUAAAAAUCAUUUUAUUGAAAUUAGCAUAAGAGCAAUCUACUAACCUUAUUCCAUGACCUAGUCCACAACUAAUUUUGGUGAUAUUGAUAGAGGUUAAUUUGGUCCACAACUUUUAUUUAAAUGUGUAACUUAAAUGUGCACUUUUGAUGUGCACCUGGACUUAACAUUUUAUGUAAGUAGAAUAUGUUGACUAGUUCAUGGCCGGCCAAGCCCACGUGAGUCAAGUUGUGAUGGGUCGACCCGUUUGAUACCUUUAAAGCAACCUAAUCAUCUAGAAUCCAAAUAGUCAUGUAUUCUCCACAAACGAACGGGUUUUAUUUAGGUACACAAUCUUAUCCUAUGAAGGUUUUCAAUGUACCCGAUCUGAUCAGAUUAAAAACUUUACCCUUUUUGCCUUUUCACUUUAUAUAUGUAGAUAUCCCCCCUCCCUAUAUAUGGAAAACAUACGCUAAUUGCAAACCAUAGUCUCUCAUAAUUAAUAAGAGUUGCAACAGUGUAACUGUGCUAUGUAAGUUAAUAUCCGUGAUUAGGGGCGCAUUGCACAAAUUUUAUCCUUCACAAGUGCGUAGGCCAGCGUUUGCUACCAUACAUUUCAACCACUGAAACUCAUGUGUGUACAAAACUAGGGAAAUGGAUUCUCUCUGGAUCAUUUCCACCAAAUUCACCAAGUUAACAAAUUCGAACCCUUGAAAUUUGAUCCAAUGACUAAAGUUAUUAUAACUUUUAAAGGAAGCUCACGUUUUUAGUUGUUGGAUCAAAUUUUAAAGGUCUGGAUUCGUUGACCUGGUAAAUUUGAUGGAAAGAAUCCGAAAAUGAUUCCUUUUCCAAAACUAGGAGCCCAAGGAUUUGACUAGUCACCCUUUGGAGUUGGCCCAUUCAAAAGUGCAAAUCCCUGAUAGCAAUCCUCCACGCCAACUGGUAAACUUUUAGCUUCCACACCACACUUUACUUAAGCAAGUUAUUAUUUGCUUAAUCAUGCUAUCUUUAAGUCAUUGAUCAAACCGGAAUAUUUCCUAAGACGCUAUAAUUCUUUCGAGAUAUUUCGAGAUUUGGUACGAAAGCGAACCAGGGGAAUGAAAAGGGUACUUGCAAGCCCAAGUCUAGCUUGGCUUAAAAAUCCCCUAACAAUGACAAAAAUGACAAAAAUGACCUCAAUUUAAUAAACAAUGUGCCGAAGUAAUUUGACAAAAAAUCGAGGGUAUUUUUGUCAUUUACAGCUUAUUUAAUGGAGGUUAUUUCUGGAAUGACCAAAAUAAUUGACGGUGGACAAACUCAGAGACCAAUUUUAUCGAUUUUAAAUCUCAUAGACCAAGGUGAUGAGUUAUGCCAAUCUCAAGGACUAUUUUUUGCUAAAAAGCCAUGUAUUGCAGCCAGUAAAUGCAUCUUCAAGCUGGGAAACAUCGAACGAAAUCAAUCGUGUUUAAUUGCAAGAAAUUGGUGGUUCAAAAUUCAAUCUUUUAAGAGGUUUAAGAGAUUUUUAUAUGUCUUCAUGAAUUUACAAUUUUUUUUCUUUUAUCUGAUAAAUUUUUCUGUCAUGAUUUGUGCAGUGUAGUUUAUGACUUGGGUUAUGAAACACCAAUAAUGUUACAAAAAUUACACCUUAAGAUACCAAUAAUCCAACAUAGAUAUAAAAUUUAAAACCAAUAAUAUAAUUAGUCUCCCAACUUAAUUAUAUAUACAAAAUGUAACAUUGAAAUCGAAAAAGAAAUGAAACAAAGUUUAAUCAGGGAAACAUGACAAUGUGUUGUGUCCCCUCAUUGUGUAUUUUUAAUCAGAUCCCUAAGCUGUUGAAGAAGUUGAUCAGUUGAGCAAUGUUCUUCUUUUGCUUAAAACAGUACAAAUACACUUCAAAUCGAAAAAAUAGUGUACUUGUGAUGCCAAAAAAAUCUGAUCUUUUGAGAACUCGUUCUUAAUAUCUUAGCAGCGUAUUAUUGGUGUUUAUUUGUUUAAGUUCAAUAGCGUGUCAAACGUAUGUUCGUUUUGUCCCAUGAAUGCAGGCAAGGGACAUCAUGAACAUUACUUGCAUUACAAGUUCCGCUACUUAGGUUGUUGCAAGAGGCACGGAUCUCCUUCCCAACAAUUGCCGAUGUGAUUUUAAUCUGGUGCAGAUUAAUGUUGGCACAACCUGGAUUCUCCGAGCAAUCAAACUUGAUCGCUUCUUCGGUUGCAGAAGUUCCAUGAAAACCAUUGUAUGUCACAUCGCUCACACUCACUGUCGAAGUCAGCAAAUUUUUUCAAAAAUGAUGACUUCGUUAAUACAACUAAUUUUGGUGAUAUUGAUAAAGGUUAAUUUGGUCCACAACUUUUAUUUAAAUGUGUAACUUAAAUGUGCACUUUUGAUGUGCACCUGGACUUACCAUUUUAUGUAAGUAGAAUAUGUUGACUAGUUCAUGGCCGACCAAGCCCACGUGAGUCGGGUUGUGAUGGGUCGACCCGUUUGACACCUUUAAAGCAACCUAAUCAUCUAGAAUCCAAAUAGUCAUGUAUCCUCCACAAAUGAACGGGUUAUAUUUAGGUACACAAUCUUAUCUUAUGAAGGUUUUCAAUGUACCCGAUCUGAUCAGAUUAAAAACUUUACCUUUUUGCCUUUUCACUUUAUAUAUGUAGAUAUCCCCCCCCUCCCGAUAUAGGGAAAACAUACGCUAAUUGCAAACCAUAGUCUCUCAUAAUUAAAAAGAGUUGCAACAAUGUAACUGUGCUAUGUAAGUUAAUAUCCGUGAUUAGGGCGCAUUGCAUUUAUUUUAUCCUUCACAAGUGCGUAGGCCAGCGUUUGCUACCAGACAUUUCAACCACUGAAACUCCUGUGUGUACAAAACUAGGGAAAUGGAUUCUCUCUGGAUCAUUUCCACCAAAUUCACCAAGUUAACAAAUUCGAACCCUUGAAAUUUGAUCCAAUGACUAAAGUUAUUAUAACUUUUAAAGAAAACUCACGUUUUUAGUUGUUGGAUCAAAUUUUAAAGAUCUGAAUUCGUUGACCUGGUAAAUUUGAUGGAAAUAAUUUGAAAAUGAUUCCUUUUCCAAAACUAGGAGCCCAAGGAUUUGACUAGUCACCCUUUGGAGUUGGCCCAUUCAAAAGUGCAAAUCCCUAAUAGCAAUCCUCCACGCCAACACCAAGUCAGCCAAAGCCAGGCAGGCCAAACAAAAACAAACAAACAAAAGAGGCCAAUCCUACCACAUGUUCCGCGAUGCUUCCAAAGACAGAAACCCCAGUACCCCACACUUGUCCCUCAAACCUUUCUCCCACCCACCUUCCCAAUCCUCCUUUUUCUACAAAACAACUUGGAAAUCUGAUUUGAUUAAGAUCUCAACUUAAUUUAGAUUAAUAGGUGGUCAUAAGACCACCAAUUCUCAAUUAUGUUACUUGUUUUACUCAACUACGGAUCCAUCAAUUUAUUUGAAACUUUCUCUCUUGUCGUAUCACAUUCUAUUUUGCGAUAUUUGAGACGUCAUACUUAUGAUUGUAGGAUCAAAACAUCAUGUGCUUUUUAUGAAAAAAAUUUCCCUACAUCAGCACGCUAUUGUGUGAGAAAGUUAUAACGUUUAAUAACAACACAAUGACAUCUCAAGAAGUUCUAAAGAUGCAAAUGUGACAAUAUUCUAAACCCAUUGCAAUUAUUGUUCGAGAAAAUUAAAACAUGUGUCAAUGUGCGAAUGACUUGUCACAAUUCUACAAUCACAUCCACAUACUUCUCGGAAAAAAAAAAUUCUGAAGAUUCAAUUGUGACAAUAUUCCAAGUCAAUCAUAAAUCGUGCAAUAACACAACAAAUUGCAAAUAGAUCCAAUCCUCAUUUCCUCCAAAAUACAAUUACAAAGGGAUUAUGAGAAUCCAAACAAAGUCUUUAGUAGAAGAUUACAUACUUGUCCCAUGAAACCUCCUCCCCCAAUGUCAUAAAACCAUCUCCUAAUAGAGAUGGCCACUUCUAUGAAGGAAACCAAAACAAACUUCUAUCCACAUAUAGAGAGAGAGAGAGAGAUAGACUUUACGCCUCCCACUCUCUCUCCUCUUCCCUUUUAUUCCUCUUAAUUUACAUAUACAUCUUUUGAGUUUACACAAAAAGACUCACCAUAAAUUAAACAUAUUAAGAUCAACUCACUUGACUUGUAUAUACAAAAAUUACACUCUCCAUCUCAAAGACCCCCCAAAAAACAUUAAUCUUCUUCCUCCUCCUCUUGAUAUUUUUCCCAAAGCACAAAGCCCUCUACUUUUCUCACAAAACUCUGCUUCUUCCAAAACAGAGAGGGCUCUGUUCCACACCCUAACUCUGUGUCUAAGCUACAGCAGAGAUGCUGCAGUUCCUGCGGUCCCUGCUAAGACAAUCAAACCCUUCGAUCCGCACUGCAACUGGCCUGUCCCCAGACUUCAUCCGGACACAGCCACCGUUGCGCGAUGACAACAUAGGCUGUGCCGGCAAAAAUGGAGCCAUAUUGCCGCUAUUACCGAAAUGCUCAUCUUGGAUUACAGGGUUGGAUGCCCUGCUCGGCGGCGACCCGCAGAAAAAAGGAGGCGAUGAAGCCGAUUGCUUAUUACCGAAUCUAUCUUCACAAUUCCCCUGUUUUCAUAAAUUAACCACAAAACAGGAGAAAAUAAUUAGUCUUUGUUCUUGGAAUUUUUUCAUAAGUGGAAGAGCGAGCUAAAACAUGACAACAAAAUUAAAAAUAAACGAAUUCAUGCCAAUAAAAACAAAUUUGAAACCCCCAAAUUAGAAAAUAUAAAACGAAAACAUGAAAUGAUUUAGGCCUGCCCCUUCCUCUACAAAACCGUCAAACCACGGUUUAUUUAUGUCCCUUGAUUCAAGUGGAUGCAUCGACGAAAAGGGGUGUGCAGAAAUCAUUUUCUCUGAAUAUUAGCUAAAAAAUCAUCCCACGAAUAUUAGCACAACAAGUUUAAAGAAUUUAACGAAAAGUUAUCAGUCCUACUUUAACGAAAAAUCACAUUUUUACAUUAAAAAGUAAGAUCUGAUACUAUUCCCUUUACCAUUUAUUCAGUCAUUUUCAUUUAUUCAGUCAUUUUCGUUAAUACCCAAAAUUUUCAAAUCCGUUUUACUAUAAAUUUAAGGGGAGGAGAGGAACCUUGGCGAGAAUAAUAUCCAGAAUCUCAGACCCAGCUUCAGAAUCUCGAAUCUCCGAUUGGUUGUGACUGUUGCAGCAGCAGCAACAAAAAUCAAACACCCAAAAAAUAACAACCUUUGACUCUUACCUACGAAUUAAAACCUUAAAAGAACAUAGAAGUGUGAGAAGAUAAAAAAGGUACGUACUUGAAGUAUCUGAAGGGUCUGAUGUUGUCGUUGAAGGAAGGAUUCAGAAGGCUGAAACGACGUGGUUUUGGGCACACAACUGAAUCCAUCCCCUCGCAGCCUGCCG
RNAcentral lists this long non-coding RNA (58520 nucleotides) under Malus domestica (apple). RNAcentral's name for it is "long non-coding RNA (MDOM_LNC006339)". The stretch from base 48519 to 48591 matches the Rfam family "tRNA". The record is from RNAcentral. Lineage: Eukaryota; Viridiplantae; Streptophyta; Magnoliopsida; Rosales; Rosaceae.